UUUUUUUUUUUUUUUUUUUUUUCUUUUUUUUCUCUUGAAAAAAAAAUGAGAAAGAUUGAAAUUACAAUAUUCGACCCUAACAACUACUCUACAAGCUCUUUAGACAGGUAGGAAUUUUUUUUUGUUUUAAAAAAAAAAAAAAACAAGGGUAGGGAGAAAUAUUUAGGUUAAAGAAACAAGAAAGGUUCACAUUCAAGGCUCAACAGGGCUAACUAGGGAAAAUCAUAAUAAUGGUUGGCUUGAAAGGCUCAAACGAGAGAAACAAAUGCCUUAUCACUUCCAAGUUUGUUACAUGAAUUGAUGAGUGUACCAAGAGGUUUAAGGCAAGUUCUAGAAAUGCAAAUAAAAUGAGACCAUUCACACAAGUAUAAAUGAGAGUGACACAUAAUAGUUCAAUCUUGAAUAGGCUCAAAUGCUCACAAGGGUUAAACAAGUCUCACAAAAUCCACAUAAAAGUCUCUAUAUCAUGAAACUGUCAUAUUAACAUGGUUAAUGUGCUCAAGAAUUUUCAAGGAAAGUCAUGUCAAUUAGAGCCAAUAAGUGAAUAACUCGUAGGCCAUAAUUAAUACUCAUGAAUCUCAUAUCAAUCAUACAACAUACUUAAAUCCAAUUCUCAUCAUAGGUGUUGGAAGAAACAAAAAAAAAAAAAAAAAAACUAACAACAAAAAAAGUAACAAUUUUUUUUAUAUAAAAAAUAAAUCGUUUGAGCGGACUACAUAGCCACUUGAGCAACAGAACACAUACUACUUUCCUCUUGAGGGGAAGAAAACCAUCACUUGAGUAGCAGACCCCAAUGUAAUGCUCGCUUGAGCGACCUAAUUUUUAUUUAUUUAUUUUUUAGACAAUUCUUAAAACAAAAGCAAUGAAAACGAAAAAAUUAAAGUGCCCACCCCCAAACUUAAAUGAAACAUUGUCCUCAAUGUUUGCAAAAACUCAUACACGCAAUGCAUUCAUCAAAACAAAGAACUAGAAAGACCAAAAUUGAAAAAACAAAAUAAAAAUUGCAAAGAUAGGAUUUAGAACUCCCUUUAAUGAAGUAUCAAAGUUGACAAAUCACCCAUUCACUUCCACUCACUAGCAUAGGCACAUGGCAAAAAUCUGCAAAUAUUAGAUAAACAUUCAAAACAUGAUAGAAGCAUAAAAAACACAAAACAAAAAUAAACUAAAAGAAAAGGAAAUAAAACACCUAGUUGGGCUGCCUUCCAACAAGCGUUAAGUUUAACGUCUUCAGCCAGACGGACGACCCCCAAACUUAAAUGGAGAAACCAGGGCACUCAUCAAGAUAUAAAGCUUCAUAAAUUUCGUGCGUUGCAUCUUCCCAGUAAAGCUUCAAUCUUUGUCCAUUCACUUUGAACGUGGAUCCAUCCUUGGGAUUAUGAAUUUCAACUGCACCAUGAGGAAAAACAUGUUGUACUAAGAAAGGACCAGACCAGCGGGAUUUGAGUUUACCUGGAAAAAGACGGAGUCUAGAGUUAUAGAGCAACACUUUCUGACCCAGAAAGAAUUCUUUUCGAACAAUUAACUUAUCAUGAUAUGCCUUCGUUUAAUCCUUGUAUAUCCUUGCAUUCUCAUAGGCUUCAUCCCGCAGUUCAUCUAGUUCAUUCAACUGAAGCUUUCGUACUUCUCUAGCCUUGUUUAAAUCAAAAUUCAGUCGCUUGAUAGCCCACAAAGCUUUAUGCUUCAGUUCCACUGGAAGGUGACAAGCUUUCCCAUAGACAAGUCGAUAACGAGACAUGCCUAUGGGGGUUUUAUAUGCAGUUCUAUACGCCCACAAAGCAGCAUUCAAACGAAUGGACCAAUUUUUCCUCGUAGUGUUGACCGUCUUUUCCAAAAUUCUCUUGAUUUCUCUAUUCGAAACCUCAACUUGACCACUUGUCUGAGGAUGAUAAGGUGUAGAAACCUUAUGGGUUAUGUUGUACUUUUUCAUGAGAACUUCAAAGGGCUUGUUACAAAAAUGAGUGCCGCCGUCACUGAUAAUGGCUCUAGGAGUCCCAAACCGAGGAAAUAUGAUGUCCUUGAGGAAAGACAAAAUAACUUUAUGAUCAUUGGUUCGAGUAGCCAAAGCCUCAACCCACUUGGAAACAUAGUCAACACCCACCAAUAUAUACUAAUAACCAUAAGAGCUUGGAAAGGGGUCCAAUGAAAUCAAUACUCCACACGUCAAAUAACUCAACCUCUAGAAUGUUGUUGAGUGGCAUCAUAUUACUGUGUGUAAAAUAUUUCUCAUCCUCUGGCAGCGAUCACUUAUCUUGCCAAAAUCAUAUGCAUCUUUAAACAAAGAAGGCCGAAAGAAUCCAGAUUGUAGUACCUUAGCAGCAGUUUUCUUGCCCCCGAAAUGUCCUUCACAUACAGAGGUAUGGCAGAAAGUAAGCACGCUCUACUGCUCUUCCUUGGGAAUGCAUCUUUGAAUAAUUUGAUCUGGACAAUGCUUGAACAAAUAUGGAUCGUCCCAAAAAUAAUGCACGGCCAUAAAUUGAAGUUUUUUUUUUCUGUCUUGACGAUUACUCACUCCAGGAAAUUCGUUGGUAGCCAAGUAAUUCAUAAUAUCAGCAAACCAAGGAAAAUUUGUUUCCGAAAUGGCGAAGAGUUGUUCGUCCAGACAACUAUCAUUCAAUGGUAACUCUGUUUCAUCAUCUUUCAAAGCUGAAACCAACCGAGAAAGAUGAUCUGCAACUAAAUUCUCUGACCCAUUUUUAUCUCGAAUCUCUAAGUCAAAUUCUUACAACAAAGAACCCAACGGAUCAACCUGGGUUUAGCCUCUUUCUUGGUAAGUAAAUACUUGACAGCUGUAUGAUAAGAAAAUACAAUUACCUUAUAACCAAUCAAAUAAGACUUUCUCCAAUGCAAAAACCACAGCAAGCAACUCUUUUUCAGUGGUCGAAUAAUUCAAUUGAGCAUCGUUAAGGGUCCUGCUUGCAUAAUAAAUAACAUGGGGCAGCUUGCCAACUCUCUGUCCUAAAACUGCUCCUACUGCAUAAUCAAAAGCAUCACACAUUAGUUCAAAAGGAAGACUCUAAUCUGGAGCACAGAAAGGGCCUUUUUAUGGACAUGUUCUUAAUUAAUGUACUGCUUUGGAGACAAUAACACCAUGGCAUUUGCCAAAUUAUUGUUAGAGAAAAUGGUGUACAUGCUUCAAGAAAAAGAUUAACUUAGCUACUUAUGAAGACAUACACCAUAUGUCAUUUCUCAUGAUAGACAGGGGAAAAAUUAAAAUUGAGGAUAGGAUUAGCGGGAAAAAUAGAGGGAAAAUUUUUAUUAUUAUUUAUUUUCAGUUUUUAAUCAUUUUUAAAAGUGAAAUGGACUAACUAUCCUCACAUGUUGUGCACAUGUCUUACUUAACGGAAAUAUGGAUGGAAUAUAUGAAAAACUAACGGUAGGGCGCAAAUUGGCUAAAAAAAUUAGUUUGAAUCCUUAAUUUUCCAAAAGAAAAUCAGGGGGAAGUCGAAAGUGAGGUGAAAGUUCAAGGGUAAAGUUUACCCUAAAAAAAAAAAAAAAAAAAAAAAAAAACGUAAGAAGCCUGGCACACAACUAUUCCUCUCCUUCUCUCUCUCGCUCUCUGUUCGCUGGGCUGCCGCGACGGUCCACCACCACUCCAAAGCACGAGGCGACUCCAUAUCCGCCUCCACAAUCUCACCUCCACCUACUUCCUCUCUCAUUAUCGACGCCGUAUCCAAGCUUCAUCGUAACAGAGCUUCGAGAAAAAGGUAAGUCGGACAACUAAUUUUUUUUUAAAUUUUUUUAUGAAAUGAUAUAAUGUUAGGGUUGUUGUGAUUAGAAAUUUUUGUAUGUAUUUAACAAAAUUUCGACUCAUUAUUUGUUUUCAAUUGUUGGUAUAAAUUUCUGAUUGAAUGAUUUAUGAAUGCGUGGCAGAUGGCACUGAGAGGAGUGUGGCAAUUGCAAAAUCCAAACUUAUGGGAUUUUCACAUAGAAACCCUCGAUACAAUUACACUUUAUAGAAAUACACUUUGAAGUUCGAACCAAUAUUUUAGAAAAGCACUCUUCUUAUAAGAGCAAAUCCAGCAUCAAAGCCUUCUGGAUAACUUCCUAAAUAGUCUUUAAUAAACAGGAACUAUCUUUAAUGAACAGUAAUUACUUUUUGCAUCUCUACCUGUAACUGAAUAGUCAUGUCAAUAGGUGAUAAAAUAUUAGUAUUUUUUAUUUUAUAAAAUAAUACAAAAUAAUUUUAUUUGUAAUUUCGGAUAAGAUUUUUAAUCCGUUUUCAUUGUCUCAUGUGUCAUUAUCCGAAAAGACAAUUUUUCGUGAUAGAUUUCGAUAAGAUUUUUAUCUAAUACAGUCUUGCCACGUGUCGUUACAUUUUCAGAAUCGUUGAGGAUAAAUUUCUUGAAAGAUUUUGAUCAAUCACGUCACGUCACGUGUGACAAUAUGUUUACAAUAUUUGAGAAAAGAUUUUGAUCAGAUUUUUAACGAAUGACGACAUGCCACGUGACAUUAUCUACAUCCUAAUUUUGUCUUUCUCCUCCAUAUAACCCACCAUCCAUCCUAAGAAAUCACACAUCAAAAUCAAAAUCUCUAUCAUUAAUCAUAGUUUCUGCUUCCUUCUUACAAUGCUUCUUCGAGGAUGUUGUGGGAAUCGACGAGCAAGAGAAAUAAUUGUUUAAAUAAGGGGAAGAAUUGUUUCAGUAUGCAAACAGACUAAGAAACCAACUGGGGAGAAAAGUGGUGAAACUGAAGACUUAGACAUGUAACCAAACAUCCUAGCGUGCAAGGUACGUGGACAACAGAUACGAAGUUUUGAGGCACAAUGAAACAAUUUGCAUCGCAAGCAGUUUCUUCGGUGUGUUUCUGAGCAGUUUAGUUUAAUGUAACCAAAAAUACAGCUCCUAGUUGUGGGCUAUAGUUCCGAAUUGGCAGUCGAGUCGAUUGUUUACUUUAGCAGUUUGUUUACUAUGAAUAGGGUAUUCUGUUUCUCGUCAAAUAACUUAAACCUCAGAAGAUGCUCUAUGAGAUUAUGAUAUCAUCUUGCUUUACCCUAAUGCCAUUGUUUACCCUAUCCGGCAUUUGAGUCAACAAAAUCGUUAAUAGCUGACGUGACAUGGGCAUAUUGUGAAGUUCAAGUUUAAAGAGGUGGUGGGUUGUAUUCUUUUUAAGUUUUUAUCUUCGGUUAGUUUUUGAUCUUUUAAUUGUGAUUAAUUUCUACUAUAAUGUCCAUGGCACGUUAGUACAUGCCCAUUUUGNNNNNNNNNNNNNNNNNNNNNNNNNNNNNNNNNNNNNNNNNNNNNNNNNNNNNNNNNNNNNNNNNNNNNNNNNNNNNNNNNNNNNNNNNNNNNNNNNNNNNNNNNNNNNNNNNNNNNNNNNNNNNNNNNNNNNNNNNNNNNNNNNNNNNNNNNNNNNNNNNNNNNNNNNNNNNNNNNNNNNNNNNNNNNNNNNNNNNNNNNNNNNNNNNNNNNNNNNNNNNNNNNNNNNNNNNNNNNNNNNNNNNNNNNNNNNNNNNNNNNNNNNNNNNNNNNNNNNNNNNNNNNNNNNNNNNNNNNNNNNNNNNNNNNNNNNNNNNNNNNNNNNNNNNNNNNNNNNNNNNNNNNNNNNNNNNNNNNNNNNNNNNNNNNNNNNNNNNNNNNNNNNNNNNNNNNNNNNNNNNNNNNNNNNNNNNNNNNNNNNNNNNNNNNNNNNNNNNNNNNNNNNNNNNNNNNNNNNNNNNNNNNNNNNNNNNNNNNNNNNNNNNNNNNNNNNNNNNNNNUCCAACUGUUGGAGUAAAAUUGGCAAUUCCUAACAAAAAGCCUGAGUCUGUAAUGUUUUAGACUAUUGCAUGUUUUCGGUUUUAUUUGUUUUAGUUUAAAUUUGUCUCUCGUGCUCUCGAUCACAAUAAUACCAAGGGUUUCAGAGACAUUUACUCAGGUAUGUUUGCAUGCAUGGCAUCUCAUGAAAUUAUGGUUUACGUUAAGUGUUUUUGGGCUGUAAUUUUAAGCAGGAUUACAAAUGAGCUUAAACUUUAAUCAAUCCUUGUUUUUGCCGUGAAUUGUGGAUUGGGUUUGCAUAUUUGACUUUCAAUUAAGGUCUUAUUAAUUAAAGCCUAUCUUUCUUAGGUGGCAACAUAUUCUCUAGUAUUUGUUUUAUGCAUACAGAUAAUGUUUGGUGGAUUUUCACACUUAUUAGCAUAAAACAAAUAAUAUCUCUUGGUUUUUAUUUUAUUUUAUUUUUUUAUCUAGUUUGUUAAUAAAAAAUUCAGUUUUCCUUGAUCACACCUCCUUCACUCUGUUUUACCUACGCCUAUAUAUACACAUCAGUUUAGGGUUUUCGCUGCUGUUGUUGCCGCAUCACAACAUAUAUAUGCAUUGAAGCAGUCAUUUAUUUGCGAGAGCAUAUGUUAAGGUUCUAGAAGUGAUCAUUAUAUCAUAUCAUAAUUUUUGUUUUGGUUGCUAUAGCAUGCAUUAGAUUAGGGUUUGGUUUGUUUGCCAUAUAACACAGAAUAUAUUAACAAAGCAUUAGCACCGAGUGCAUUAGAACAUGGUUUUAUGUUUUGGCUGCUGCUGCUAUGCAUAACACACACUGCAUUAAAUCAUAUUUGCACAGAGAGAAACUUACAGUUGAUAUGUUUGAGGAUUGCGGCAUUUGAUGUGACGAUCCGUCCCUAAUUUUCUAUGUAAUUUCUCCCCAAGUAUGUGAAUUGACAUUUAUGCUCUUAUUGGCAAGUGACGUGGACGUGUUUAUUCGCGCUUAAAUACUUUUUCUCGCUAUUGUAAUUAAAUAGUACUCAUUAUUAUGAACGCAUGAGCACGAGUUAGGCUCGAAUCAGAGUUGUGACGAAAAAGUUACGAUAAGUUAAAGUGAGUUAAAUCGGGUGACGAUUCAAAACCGUUAUUUGUUGCCCCGUAUCGAUGAUCUCUUUGAUCAACUUUGUGGUGCUGGUGUCUUUUCAAAAAUUGAUCUAAGGUCGGGUUACUACUAGUUGAAGAUCAGAAAAGAAAACGUUCCGAAAACAGCCUUCAUAACUCAAUAUGGUCAUUAUGAGUUUCUUGUGAUGCCAUUCGGGUUAACUAAUGCUCCAGUAGCCUUUAUGGACUUGAUGAAUCUGGUAUUCCGUCCGUACCUUGACAGAUUCAUAAUUGUCUUCAUUGAUGACAUUUUGAUAUACUCUAAGAGCGAGGCUGAGCAUGCUAGACAUCUAUGUCUGGUUCUGAAGAAGUUAAGGGAGAAUCAGUUAUACGCCAAGUUCAGUACGUGCCAGUUCUGGUUGGAUCAAGUUUCAUUCUUAGGACACGUGAUAUCAGCUCAAGGUGUUCACGUGGAUCCCUAGAAAGUAGCAGCAGUAGAAAAUUGGGAGCAACCUAGGACUGUCACUGAGGUACGAAGUUUUCUUGGUCUUGCGGGCUACUAUCGACGUUUUGUGAAAGACUUAUCAGCUAUAGCCCUACCUCUAACAAGGUUGACUAGGAAGGGAGUAAAUUUUGAAUGGAGUGACGACUGUGAACGGAGUUUCCAACAGUUAAAGUACUGUCUCACAACUAACACACCCCGACCGGAGUCGAGGCGUACUGGCCGUCACCCAAAGGUGACGUAACCAAACGUGCAAGUGAUGUAAGAAUGUGAAUAAAUUAAAACCGAAAUUAGGACUUAAUUUAACUAAUAAAGUGAGUGCGCAGUAGUGGGUAGAACCCAUAGAAUACAAAUAUUCAGAGCAUAGAUACCAACAGUAGUGCAGUCGAAACUAAAUAAGUGUUUAGCACACAACCAUAAAUAGUUCCUACUUUUAAUUGGAGUAUGUCAGAAUCACUAGCUAUUAUCUCAGUGGCGUACGAGGAAUAGCUGGUGAUUCUGACACACUCUAAUUAAGAGUAGGAACUGUUUUCGGUUGUGUGCUAAACACUUAUUUAGUUUCGAUUGCACUAUCGUUGAUAUCUAUGCUCUAAAUAUUUGUAUUCUAUGGGUUCUACACCACACUACUGCGCACUCACUUUAUUAGUUAAAUUAAGUCCUAAUUUUGAUUUUAGUUUAUUCACAUUCUUACAUCACUUGCACGUUUGGUUACGUCACCUUUGGGUGACGGCCAGCACACCUCGACCCCGGUCGGAGUGUGUCAUUUGAUAUUUGUUUUGGGAUUUCCUAGGUUAGUCGUAUAGACCUUCCUAUUGUUUCAGGUGUUUUGUGAACUAAGUUUUUGAAAAUGCAGCUGAGAGUAGUGUGCUAAGUUUUCAAGAAAAUCGAUUUUGAGUUCAAGUGUUUUUCAAACAGAAAUUAUUAGUUUUUGAUCAAUGAUAUUUCUUUGUUCUUUAAUUGGAAGUCAAUUAUGAAAAUGUGCCUUGUGAUUUUCGUAAUUGGUUGAUUUUCAAAAAAACCAUUUCAUCAUACAUUCAUUUUGCAUGAUCGUGUUAGUAUCUGCAAAGUUCGAGGAGAAGGUGAUUGACGGUCACAUUAGUGUUGUCCCACUUCCACUCGAAGGCUGAAUAGAGAUCGAGUAGCAAAGGCGCGGAAACAAAACUACCUUCUAGUUGAGUGUCUAGUAAGAUAAGUUUUGUAAGUCCUUUUUGUAUUCAUUUCUCUUAGUGUUUGUCUUGACUUGGGAGCCUAAGGAUUUUUUCCAGUUAUGGGUUUUGCCUCGUUAAAUCCUACAUCUUAUAUUUAUUGUUUUAACUGCAUAUGUGUAGGAUAAUUUGAUAAGUGUUGUGAUGUGGAAAUUAAUUGAAAAUUGAAUUGGAUUUUUUAAGUUGGAACCUAUUCACCUCCCUCUAGGUUAAACUAGUACCCAUCCUAGAACUUUCACCAAUCACUCAAAAGUGUCAAACCAACGGAUGAUAAAACAUCGACUGUUGUCCCCAUUUUUGUCCUUGGCAUUUUGUGGGUUUUAGGUUGACAACGAUCUUUUGUAGAUAGUGUCUACGAAUUGCUUCACGAUAAUUAGGCUUAUAAUCAAUCAUUCAAGGUCUUAGUCCAAGGUUUGCAGGAAGAUCAACCAAUAUUUCAACUUAGUGACCUCAUUUUGUUGUGAACUACCCAAAAUAUUCGAAGGAAGACUACCCAAAAUUUUUGAAGGAAGAAUAAAGCACUAUUUCUUACAGUGUCGUUCCAAUACAUCACUAUAUAAUGAGGAAAAAAGUCUUAGACUCUUAAUACUAAAAUCUACUAUGACUAAUAACUAAUUAAACCAUAAAUUCAAUUAAUCAAUAAACAUAUAAAUUAUUCAUUUAGUUUCAACUAUUCAAUUCAUCAAUUAUCAUAUGAUUCCUAUCAAUAACCAUAUUGCGCUAUGAUUCUAUAUCAAUUAAGCAAAAUUUCAUAUUAAAUUAUUAUUUAGUAAUUUGAUUUUGAAAAAAAAAAAAAAGGUUUACCUCAAAGGGGUAAGGGAUGAUGUGUAAAUUAGAGCAACCUAAAAUAGAUUAAUUCUAAUCAUGUUUAUUCGCAAGUGCACGGUUCGUAGAUAGUAUAAAAGUGCAAAUACAGAGUCGAAUCCCACAAGGAACGGUGAUUUAAUUCGAUAACUAACCACUUAACGCACAAAUGAAAUUGAAAAUAUUAUUGAGCAAGAAAAUUAAAGGAAAUAUUGGUUGUGAAGAUUAAUACUAUAAGAUAAAAUUGCUGAAAGUUUAAGAAAAUAAAUAAACCAAUAACAUUAAAACUUAAGGACAAACAAGACGUUAAAGGCCAAGGCAUCCAAUUUCACCAAUAACAAUCCUAUUCCGAUUCUUAGCUAUCAACUAUCCAAUUAACAACUCCUAUGUUGAUGAUUAAGUUUCCCAACUCUAUAAUCCGAUCAUGAUGUAUGCAUCAAAUUAUAUUCUUCUAAGAAGCAACCUAGCAUGGUGUAUGCCUAGAUUUCACAACUUGAAGUUCCCUAAGUACAAUGGAAACUUUUAUACAACCACACAAAACCUAGAACAUGGUGUAUGCUUCUAGUAAAUUGUGAUCUCAAAUUCAUGAUUCGAACAAGAACAUAACAUGGGUAUAUGCCUAUGAACCUGCAACAAACACUUAUUAAUUCAUCCAAGUGAUGCCAAUUGUCAAGAACGAAAAAACAAGCGAAUUAAGCCCAAAAUUUGAGAUUCAACAUAAUAGAACUUGUCUUGGAUAAUCAAAUAGCUAAAAAACACAAAAUAUUCUUGUAUGGCUACAAUGUAGCCUUAGCAAAAAGAAUUUAGAAACACAUAGUCAUGGAAAACAUAAUUAAAGAUAAGAAAAACAUGAGAAACCCUUAAACCGAAAGAGAGAAGUUUGCAUUCCAAAAGCUCCUGAACUCUUGCUUGCCUUCCUUCCCCUUUUCUGCGUUUUUUUUUCUGCUGCUGUCCAAAUCUCUAGCCGUAUUCCCCCUUUUACUCUCCUGCUCUGCUGCAACAACUUCUUGGAUCCCAACCGUUCAAUCCCCCCCUUUUUCUUUUUUUUUUCAUCUCCACCCUCCACUUGUAUUUUGAUGAGGACUAAGUGCAUUAUUGGGCCUAAAAGGGCAGCUUAUAUUUCUUUAACAGUCAGACUAAUUUACUUGUUAGGCAUUAAAUCUCCAAUUCAAAUGAACUGCACAAAUUUGGCCCAAAUCACUUAAAAUUUAAAGUUGACCGAACCUGAAAUUCCAAACAGCAGUCACUAAGACGAUCAUAAUUCAUUGCAGGAAUAUCGGAUUGACAUGAUUCGAACUCCAUUUGAAAGAAGACUUCCAUAUCUUUUCAUCCAUAUAUAGUAUGCAAUGAGGUUCCUCUGGAUGAAUAAAUGACAGCCCAUCAAAGUCGCUGGACAGAAACUCCCAUAUCCGAGAUUUUCCAAAUUAUGUCACCUCCAUGUCUUAGGCAUGCUUUGAUAUCUUGUGAUCUUCCUUUGAAUGUUUACAGACUGUUUUUAGGCUCUCAACACUCCUCUUAUUUGCCUCAAAAUCCCUUUAUUUGCAAUUAAUCCUACAAAAUAAGAAAAUCACAAGUAAACUACUAAUAAGGGAUGAAAACUAUACAUAAUCCAAGUGCUAAGGUAAUAAAAACUUGUAUCAAUAUGAGUCAAUCAAGUACCCCGAAACUUAGAUUUGCUAGUCAAGCUAAACAAAACAAAAUAAAAUCAAAUAAAACUCAAAGCAAUCCUUCCAACAAUGGCAUCCUCAGGAAAUUCAAUUCAUAAACAUGAUUAAUAUGAUCUCAACAGGUAUUAAAGAAGUUCAAAUCAAACAAUUCACAAACUUCGACUCAAGAUCCGUGAAGUGUGUGAGCAUUAACCAUUAUUAACACAACUUUUCAUGAUCCGGAUAUGUAUAUGCAGAUUAGCUCGACUCCAAUUGCUCACAUGGUAUACACUCAUUCACUCAUAUUUGCAGGUUGUGUGUUUUGUUCAAGUGAUCUUAUUAAACAUGCCUUCAUAUACUUGCUUGUCCACCUAACUCGGUAUCAAUAUCAAAUAACUACUUGGAUCAAGGGUCUUUCACAAGGUUGUAUUGAGGAUAAGAGUUAAUUGGCUAACAAAGAAGGGUAAGAAAAACACAAAAUCUAAAUGACUUGUAGAGCUUACAAUUACAUUUGAAGAUAAUAAUAAUAAUAAUAAUCUAAAAGAUAUAUGAAGCACUUCUACUCUAUGCAGAAACACUAUUUUCAUUUGGUCUGGUCUUUGAAACACUCAUUUCAUUUUCUUGUAGUAACAACUACUUUCUCUUCUUUUCUUUUCUUUUUUUUUUCUUUUUUUUCUUUUUUUUUCUCUUGAAAAAAAAAUGAGAAAGAUUGAAAUUACAAUAUUCGACCCUAACAACUACUCUACAAGCUCUUUAGACAGGUAGGAAUUUUUUUUUGUUUUAAAAAAAAAAAAAAAACAAGGGUAGGGAGAAAUAUUUAGGUUAAAGAAACAAGAAAGGUUCACAUUCAAGGCUCAACAGGGCUAACUAGGGAAAAUCAUAAUAAUGGUUGGCUUGAAAGGCUCAAACGAGAGAAACAAAUGCCUUAUCACUUCCAAGUUUGUUACAUGAAUUGAUGAGUGUACCAAGAGGUUUAAGGCAAGUUCUAGAAAUGCAAAUAAAAUGAGACCAUUCACACAAGUAUAAAUGAGAGUGACACAUAAUAGUUCAAUCUUGAAUAGGCUCAAAUGCUCACAAGGGUUAAACAAGUCUCACAAAAUCCACAUAAAAGUCUCUAUAUCAUGAAACUGUCAUAUUAACAUGGUUAAUGUGCUCAAGAAUUUUCAAGGAAAGUCAUGUCAAUUAGAGCCAAUAAGUGAAUAACUCGUAGGCCAUAAUUAAUACUCAUGAAUCUCAUAUCAAUCAUACAACAUACUUAAAUCCAAUUCUCAUCAUAGGUGUUGGAAGAAAAAAAAAAAAAAAAAAAAAAACUAACAACAAAAAAAGUAACAAUUUUUUUUAUAUAAAAAUAAAUCGUUUGAGCGGACUACAUAGCCACUUGAGCAACAGAACACAUACUACUUUCCUCUUGAGGGGAAGAAAACCAUCACUUGAGUAGCAGACCCCAAUGUAAUGCUCGCUUGAGCGACCUAAUUUUUAUUUAUUUAUUUUUUAGACAAUUCUUAAAACAAAAGCAAUGAAAACGAAAAAAUUAAAGUGCCCACCCCCAAACUUAAAUGAAACAUUGUCCUCAAUGUUUGCAAAAACUCAUACACGCAAUGCAUUCAUCAAAACAAAGAACUAGAAAGACCAAAAUUGAAAAAACAAAAUAAAAAUUGCAAAGAUAGGAUUUAGAACUCCCUUUAAUGAAGUAUCAAAGUUGACAAAUCACCCAUUCACUUCCACUCACUAGCAUAGGCACAUGGCAAAAAUCUGCAAAUAUUAGAUAAACAUUCAAAACAUGAUAGAAGCAUAAAAAACACAAAACAAAAAUAAACUAAAAGAAAAGGAAAUAAAACACCUAGUUGGGCUGCCUUCCAACAAGCGUUAAGUUUAACGUCUUCAGCCAGACGGACGACCCCCAAACUUAAAUGGAGAAACCAGGGCACUCAUCAUCAAGAUAUAAAGCUUCAUAAAUUUCGUGCGUUGCAUCUUCCCAGUAAAGCUUCAAUCUUUGUCCAUUCACUUUGAACGUGGAUCCAUCCUUGGGAUUAUGAAUUUCAACUGCACCAUGAGGAAAAACAUGUUGUACUAAGAAAGGACCAGACCAGCGGGAUUUGAGUUUACCUGGAAAAAGACGGAGUCUAGAGUUAUAGAGCAACACUUUCUGACCCAGAAAGAAUUCUUUUCGAACAAUUAACUUAUCAUGAUAUGCCUUCGUUUAAUCCUUGUAUAUCCUUGCAUUCUCAUAGGCUUCAUCCCGCAGUUCAUCUAGUUCAUUCAACUGAAGCUUUCGUCGUACUUCUCUAGCCUUGUUUAAAUCAAAAUUCAGUCGCUUGAUAGCCCACAAAGCUUUAUGCUUCAGUUCCACUGGAAGGUGACAAGCUUUCCCAUAGACAAGUCGAUAACGAGACAUGCCUAUGGGGGUUUUUAUAUGCAGUUCUAUACGCCCACAAAGCAGCAUUCAAACGAAUGGACCAAUUUUUCCUCGUAGUGUUGACCGUCUUUUCCAAAAUUCUCUUGAUUUCUCUAUUCGAAACCUCAACUUGACCACUUGUCUGAGGAUGAUAAGGUGUAGAAACCUUAUGGGUUAUGUUGUACUUUUUCAUGAGAACUUCAAAGGGCUUGUUACAAAAAUGAGUGCCGCCGUCACUGAUAAUGGCUCUAGGAGUCCCAAACCGAGGAAAUAUGAUGUCCUUGAGGAAAGACAAAAUAACUUUAUGAUCAUUGGUUCGAGUAGCCAAAGCCUCAACCCACUUGGAAACAUAGUCAACACCCACCAAUAUAUACUAAUAACCAUAAGAGCUUGGAAAGGGGUCCAAUGAAAUCAAUACUCCACACGUCAAAUAACUCAACCUCUAGAAUGUUGUUGAGUGGCAUCAUAUUACUGUGUAAAAUAUUUCUCAUCCUCUGGCAGCGAUCACUUAUCUUGCCAAAAUCAUAUGCAUCUUUAAACAAAGAAGGCCGAAAGAAUCCAGAUUGUAGUACCUUAGCAGCAGUUUUCUUGCCCCCGAAAUGUCCUUCACAUACAGAGGUAUGGCAGAAAGUAAGCACGCUCUACUGCUCUUCCUUGGGAAUGCAUCUUUGAAUAAUUUGAUCUGGACAAUGCUUGAACAAAUAUGGAUCGUCCCAAAAAUAAUGCACGGCCAUAAAUUGAAGUUUUUUUUUUCUGUCUUGACGAUUACUCACUCCAGGAAAUUCGUUGGUAGCCAAGUAAUUCAUAAUAUCAGCAAACCAAGGAAAAUUUGUUUCCGAAAUGGCGAAGAGUUGUUCGUCCAGACAACUAUCAUUCAAUGGUAACUCUGUUUCAUCAUCUUUCAAAGCUGAAACCAACCGAGAAAGAUGAUCUGCAACUAAAUUCUCUGACCCAUUUUUAUCUCGAAUCUCUAAGUCAAAUUCUUACAACAAAGAACCCAACGGAUCAACCUGGGUUUAGCCUCUUUCUUGGUAAGUAAAUACUUGACAGCUGUAUGAUAAGAAAAUACAAUUACCUUAUAACCAAUCAAAUAAGACUUUCUCCAAUGCAAAAACCACAGCAAGCAACUCUUUUUCAGUGGUCGAAUAAUUCAAUUGAGCAUCGUUAAGGGUCCUGCUUGCAUAAUAAAUAACAUGGGGCAGCUUGCCAACUCUCUGUCCUAAAACUGCUCCUACUGCAUAAUCAAAAGCAUCACACAUUAGUUCAAAAGGAAGACUCUAAUCUGGAGCCAUCAUAAUAGGAGCAAAAGUUGAAAGAUUUUUUAGAGCGUUAAAAGCAUGCAAACACUCAUUAUUGAAAUCGAAUGCGGCAUGUUUAGCAAGGAGAUCACAUAGAGGCUUCGAUAUCUUAGAGAAGUCUUUGAUAAAUCGACAAUAGAAGCCAACAUGCCCCAAGAAAGAUCUAAUUGCUUUGACCGAAGUCGGUGGUGGAAGCUUAGCAAUCAAAUCAAUUUUCGCUUAUCCACUUUAAUACCUCUACUGGAAACCACAUGUCCCAAUACUAUGCCUUGUUGAACCAUGAAAUGACAUUUUUUCCCACUUCAAGACCAAAUUGGUCUCCUCACAUCUUUCCAGAACCUGAGAUAGGUGAUCGAGGCAUUCAUCAAAUGAAGAACCGAAUACUGAAAAGUCAUCCAUGAAUACCUCGAUAAAUCUCUCCACUAUAUUAGAAAAGAUGGCCAACAUGCACCUCUUAAAAGUAGCAGGAGCAUUGCAUAACCCAAACGACAUUCUCCGGUAAGCAAAAGUGCCAAAAGGGCAAGUGAAUGUGGUCUUUUCUUGAUCAUCUGGAGCAAUAGAAAUUUGAUUGUACCCAGAGUAACCAUCUAGAAAGCAAUAGUGACUAUGCCCUGCUAACCUCUCCAACAUCUAAUCAAUGAAAGGCAUGGGAAAGUGAUCCUUGCGUAUUGAAUCGUUCAACUUCAGAUAAUCAGUACAAACUCGUCACCCGGUUGUUAACCUCAUAGGUUCCAACUCAUUGUUCUCAUUCUUUACCAUUGUUAUGCCACUUCUCUUUGGUACCACCAGAAUUGCACUCACCCAUGUUGAAUCGAAAAUAGGAUAGAUAAUCCCAACCUUAAGUAAUUUAAGAAUUUUUUUCUUACUACUUCUUUCAUAUUCGGAUUCAGCCAUCUUUAAUGAUCUCUAGUUGGCUUCACAUCAUCUUCAAGAAAGAUGCGAUGCAUACACAUGGAAGGUCUAAUACCUUUUAUAUCUGCUAUAGUUCAACCUAAAGUCAUCUUGUGCUCUCUCAACACCCUCAAAAGCUUUUCUUCUUCUACCUUAGUCAACUUAGAAGCAAUAAUAACUGGCAAUGUUUCUGAUUCACCAAGGUAGGCAUACUUUAAAUGUUCAAGUAGUUGCUUGAGUUCCAACUUUGGAAGUUUCUUGAUUGAUGGAACAAGAUUACUGAAAAUGGAGGAAGUUCCUCAAAAACAUAGUGACCUCGGGCUAGAUUACCUGGAACUUGGUGCAUACUUUUAACCUCAACAAUUGCCGGUAAUGCGUCAAGUGCAACUUGCAUUUAAUAAGGUUCAAUUUCUGAUUUAUACUAAUCACAGUUUUGAGUAAGACAUGUCUCCAAUGCAUCUGAGGAACUAGUAAGAUUGAACAAUUUUUGUACCUCGUGAUCAAUGGUGUCUACUCGAAAAUAUACCUUCCCCGGUUGCUUCAUGGCAUCAAAAAUUCUGAAUUCGAUCGUCUCCCCUAAGACUGUCAUUGUUAAGAGACAUUUUUUGACAUCGAUCUUAGUCCCGGAUGUAGCCAUAAAUGGCGUUCCUAAUAUAAUUGGAAUCUCUUUCUUAGGCAUUGGAACAACUUCCAUAUCAAGCAUAAUAAAAUCCGUCGGUAUGAUAAAGUGAUCAACUUGAACAAGAACAUCUUCCAGAAUUCCCUUCGGAUAUUUUACUGAUCGGUACGAAUUGUAAGACUAUUGAAGUUGGUUGAAGCUCUCCCAAACCUAGCUGUUCAUACACUGAAAAAGGCAUCAGAUUCACACUAGCCCCUAAAUCAAGGAUGGCUUUUUUAAACAUAUGAUUACUAACAGUAUAAGAGAUAGUAAAACUCCCUAGAUUUUUUAUUUUCGGUGGAAGCUUCCGUUGUAGUACUGCACUGACUUCUUCUGACAACAUCACUUUCUCAUCUUCCUCGAAUUUCCUCUUGUUAGUGCACAAGUCCUUCAAGAACUUAGCAUAAAAAGGAAUUUGCUUGAUUGCAUCAAGGAGAGGAAUGUUGAUCUCCACCUUCUUGAAUUGUUCAAGGAUGUCUAACAUGUGCUUGUUCUUUUUCGAAUUCACUAGCCUUUGAGGAUAUGGAACUAGAAGCUUGUAAACUCUUUCAACAACUUUAGGAGUGUCUGAAAUGGUUUUGGCAUUUGUAGAAUCCUCUUCAGGCUUAGAGUGCAACUCUAGAACAAGUGGUGAUGUAUAAUCUACUUUUAAACUUUCAAGCUCAGUUUCCUUUUGACAAGUUUCUUGCCCAAUGAUCUUACCGGUCAUCAAAGUAACUGCUUUGGCAUGCUCAAACUGUUGAUCCCUUGGAUUUGGCUCAACUUGGCUUGGAAAUUUUCCACUCUUGAGUGUUCAUAGACUAAGAAAUUUGCCCAACUUGACCCUUCAAAGAUUUCAAGGCUGCCUUCAUAAUGUUCUGUCGAGUUGUCAUGAAGGUCAUAUUCUGAUUGAAAUGAUUAAGUGUAGUCAAAACCAUAUUGUUUGCAUCAUCAGUUCUCUGCAUGAAUCCUUGCAUCAUAACUUCAAGUGAAGAUGAAGUAGAGUAUGGCUUUGUAGGAACCAUUUGCAUGUUCCCUUGAUAAAGUCUCGGCUGUAUUUGCAUAAUACCCUGAUUUCUGUUUUGAUUACCAUUCCAAGCAAAACUCGGAUAAUUUCUCCACCCUUGAUUAUAGGUGUUAGAGAACGGAUUAUUCUUCGAUUUCCCUUAAUAUACUUGAAGCUGAUUGGCUUGAUCGAAUGUAUUCUCAGAAUAGUAUUGAGGACAUGUUUAAGUGACAUGAACAAACUGAGAACAAAUAGAACAUACCGACUGCGCUUGAAAAUUUCCUUGAUUUAAUGGAGACUGAUUUUGAUAUUGUUGACUCACCGUGCUUAUCAAAUUAGCCAUUUGUUUCCCAAGUGUCCCAACCUUGGCUUCUAACCCGGUAUCUGAAUUGAUCUCAUACAUGCCAGCCUUCUUCAUUGGUGCUUUAGUCUUUCUUUUUCCUCACUGAGUUGAUUGAGUAGCUAAAGUCUCAAACAAGGCUAUAGCAUUUGGAUAGGGCUUCAUCAUCAGACCAUCUCCACUUCAGUUAUCUACUCACUCUUUAUCACUCUCAUUAAGUCCAUUAUAGAAGAACUUAAUUUGUAACCAAUUUGCAAAUUUGUGGUAAGGGCACCUACUCAAAAGCUUUUGAUAGCAUUCCCAUGCUUCAAAAAAUGGCUCAUAUUCCUCUUGUGAAAAUUGCAUGAUUUCUUGCCUCAAAGCAUCUGUUUUAGUCUUUGGAAAGAACUUCAAAAGAAAAGCAUAUGUGAGCUCAGUGAAACUCCGGAUUGUUCUUGGCUUUAAAUUAUGCAACCAAUCUUUGGCUUUGUCCCGUAGUGAAUAAGUAAACGACCUCAUUCUGAUUUGAUCUUGAUCUAUGGUUGGAUGAGUGAUUGUGCUUGUAGCUUCAACAUAAAGCUUGAGAUGAUCAAAGGGAUCCUCCUAAGUUAACCCAUGAAAAUUAGGCAUCAACGACAACGUGGAAUCAUUCAACUACAUACUCGGAGGAGCACCAUUCGAAAGAACUAAGCACUGAGGUUCGUUAGUGAAAUGGGGAACUGAAUUAGCCACUAUGGGCUGAGGUCUUUCCCGUUCCUCUUCCAUGUAUUGCGUUUCUUUUUUUUUUCUUAGAUUUCGCAAAGUACGUUCGAUCUCUGGGUCAAAAGGAAAUCGCUCAAGGCUUCUUUAACGCCUUCUGUUCAUAUACCAAAGGGCAAGUACCUGAAAUACGGAGAAAAAAAAUAAAAAAUAAAAAAUAGAAAACAAACUAAUAUAGAACAAAGGGUUAAAUAAUUAGUCCUCGAAUCAAAAGCAACUGUUCCCCGGCAAUGGCGCCAUAAACUUGAUGCAUAAAUUAGAGCAAUCUAAAAUAGAUUAAUUCUAAUCACGUUUAUCCGCAAGUGCACGGUUCGUAGAUAGUAUAAAAGUGCAAAUACAGAGUCGAAUCCCACAAGGAACGGUGAUUUAAUUCGAUAACUAACCACUUAACGCACAAAUGAAAUUGAAAAUAUUAUUGUGAAGAUUAAUACUAAAAGAUAAAAUUGCUGAAAGUUUAAGAAAAUAAAUAAACCAAUAACAAUACAACAUAAGAACAAACAAGACGUUAAAGGAAGGCAUCCAAUUUCACCAAUAACAAUCCUAUUCUGAUUCUUAGCUAUCAACUAUCCAAUUAACAACUCCUCUAUUGAUGAUUAAGUUUCCCAACUCUAUAAUCCGAUCAUGAUGUAUGCAUCAAAUUAUAUUCUUCUAAGAAGCAACCUAGCAUGGUGUAUGCCUAGAUUUCAUCACUUGAAGUUCCCUAAGUACAAUGGAAACUUUUAUACAACCACAAAAACCUAGAACAUGGUGUAUGCUUCUAGUAAAUUGUGAUCUCAAAUUCAUGAUUCGAACAAGAACAUAACAUGGGUGUAUGCCUAUGAACCUGCAACAAACACUUAUUAAUUCAUCUAAGUGAUGGCCAAUCGUCAAGAACGAAAGAACAAGCGAAUUAAGCCCAAAAUUUAAGAUUCAACAUAACAGAAAUUGUCUUGGAUAAUCAAAUAGCUAAAAACACAAAAUAUUCUUGUAUGGCUACAUUAUAGCCAAGGUAUUAAAUAUAGAUGAUAUCGGAAAUAUCGGUAGUCCAAAAACACAUAAAUAUCGAUGGAAAUAUCAGGAUAUUAUCGAUAUCGAUAAAAAUAAUAUGGAAACCACGGAAAUUGUAAGAAAAACUUGGAAAUUUUUAUUGAAACUUUGUAGGAUGUUUAUUUAGUCAAUUAUCUAUUAGUUUAUCACAAAAAAUUGGAAGGAAAUGCAUUGCAUGAUGGAUUUAACUGAUUUAAGUUGAUUAUAUAGCGAGCUGGCAAACAUUGUGAGUGUAGAAAAUAUGCAGUAAUUAAUGAAAGAAAUUUAAACACACCAUAAUCAUUUAUAUAUAAUGAAUUAGUACAAUAUUUUACACUUUAUACAUUGCAUGGUAAGAUACAUGAGUGACUUAGUACCACAUAGAGUUCCUAUGAGGUUCAAAAUGUUCACCUUGGUGUUUUUUAAAAUAUAGAAAUUUAUCCUAGAUAAUAAAUAUUAGCUUGCAAGCCUUGCAGACAUCUUAACGACCAUAUAAAUAUUACAUGCUGAAUAUGUAAUCACAAACACAUCUGUAGCGAGUUGGAUAAGGCCCAGGUGCGUGGUUGACAAAGGGAGGGUUCGAAUAUAAUCUGCUUGAUUAGUAAAAAAAAACAAAUUAUUAUCUAAAUAAUUUAUAAUUUAUAUAACAUUUAUAUGUAUAUAUAUAUAUAUAUAAUAUAUAUAUCCUAAACUUUUAAAAAUAUAAAUGGAUGGCCUUCAUUAUUAAAAGUUAAAACCAUCAGAGGUGCACCUCACCUCUUUCACAUCACCUGUCCACCUCAUAAUUACAAGUUACAAUCAUCAGAGCCCAUGGUUUUGUUUGUUUAAGUCUCCCGUCCACUACCCGUCCACCUUGGGUGGUAUGUUAAAGUCUCUUUCUCUCUCUCUCUCUCCCCGCACCGUCUUCUCCCUCAUCUUCACAGAUGCACUUCUCUCUGCAUCGUCUCCUCCCUCAUCUUCACAGACGCACUGCAGAAAUUCGUCGGCAGCACUCUCUCUUCCCUCACCUUCACAGAGACAAGCUAAACCUCGUAUUUCUCUCCCUUUCUCUCGGUGCAGCUAGGACAGUGGAACCCAGGAACUCUCCGACGAGUUCUCUUGAUCCUUCUCCGGUUAGGUAAGCCCUCAAUUCAUCUUGGAUGUUGUGUGGUGUGGUUGAGAAUCGAGAUAUACUAAGUUUUAUCUGGUUUUUUUUAACAAGGUUUUAGAAUGAGAUCGACCCAGGGGAAGGCACACCCAGCUCCGGCGAGGCCGUGAAUGUCGACGAACUUUCCAAACACCUCUGACCGUUUCACGGCAAACGGAAGUUAUAAAAACAUUCCUCUCGUCUUCUAUUUCAUUUUAAUACCUAGAUCGAAGUCUAGGGUGCUCUUUUACAGUCGGCCAGAGUUGUAGAAGUUUCGGCGUUCUUCUCUGAUUUGCACAUAUCCAAAAUAUCACGAUAUUAUUGGUAAUAUCGCGAUAUUAUCGGUAAUAUCAUGAUAUUAUCGAUAAUAUCGCGAUAUUUUGAUUAAAACUCCUUGGAUGGAUACCUAUUAAAAUAUCGGUAAAGAAAAAAACCAAUAUUAUCGGCGAAAUAUCGCCGAUAUUAUCGGCAUUUAAGACAUUGAUUAUAGCCUUAGCAAAAGAAUUUAGAAACACAUAGUCAUGGAAAACAUAAUUAAAGAUAAGAAAAACAUGAGAAACCCAUGAACCGAAGGGGAAGUUUGCACUCCAAAAGCUCCUGAACUCUUGCAUGCCUUCAUUCCCCUCUUUUGUGUUUUUUUUUCUUUUCUGCUGCCGUCCAAAUCUCCAGCCGUUUCCCCCCUUUUACUCUCCUGUUCUGCCACAACAACUUCUUGGAUCCCAACCGUUCAAUCCCCCCUAUUUUUUUAUUUUUUUGCUUUUCAUCUCCACCCUCCACUUGUAUUUUGAUGAGGACUAAGUGCAUUAUUGGGCCUAAAAGGGUAGCUUAUAUUUCUCUAAUAGUCAGACUAAUUUACUUGUUAGGCUUUAAAUCCCCAACUCAACUGAACUGCACAAAUUUGGUCCAAAUCACUUAAAAUGCAAAGUUGACCUAACCUGGAAUUCCGAAUAGCAGUCACUAAGACGAUCAUAAUUCAUUGCAGGAAUAUCGAAUUGACACUAUUUGGACUCCAUUUGAAAGAAGACUUCCAUAUCUUUUCAUCCAUAUAUAGUAUGCAAUGAGGUUCCUCUAGAUGAAUAAAUGACAGCCCAUCAAAGUCGCUGGACAGAAACUCCCAUAUCCCAAAUUUUCCAAAUUGUGUCACCUCCAUGUCUUAGGCAUCGCUUUGAUAUCUUUUGAUCUUCCUUUGAAUGUUUAUGGACUGUUUUUAGGCUCUCAAAACUCCUUUAUUUGCCUCAAAAUCCCUUUCUUUGCAAUUAAUCCUACAAAAUAAGAAAACCACAAGUAAACUACUAAUAAGGGAUGAAAACUAUACAUAAUACAAGUACUAAGGUAAUAAAAACUUGUAUAAAUAUGAGUCUAUCCAGGGACUGGUGAUUGCAGUUGAAAUGGGUUAGUAGCGCAGUUGCUAACUUGGAAGUUGCUGCUCUGUUGGAAGGUGCCUGGCUACUAGAGGCAUGAGCUAGGCCUAAUGGGUGAAGAGUUUUUCGUCGAAUGUGAGGGUUAAUGGGGGGCUCAUCCCCUUAUGUGAAUUACUUUUUGGUUUUUAAGGAAUUAUUUUUAAGGUGAAACGACAUCGUUUUAUUUUAGAUUUUUUUUAGCAGGCUUGAAACAACGUCGUUUUGGCUUGAGAAUUUUUUUUUUAACGGAGCCCAGUCCAAAACGAUGUCAUUUCCUUUCCUUCUCAAAGUUGCAGAUUUUAUGAUAGGACCAGAAGGGUGGACCAUCGAUCCUGGGCUUAAUUUCUAGCGAAGGGAGGUGUAGUCACCCCUCCCUGCCCCACUGUAGCUUCACCCCUGCUUUUUCGUGUUGUUUAAGUUGGGGUUGUCAAGGUUGCAACAGAAUGCCAUUGUUCUGUAAUACAUCUGAGAAAGCUAUGAAUAAUUUUGUUUCCAAUAGCAUAGAUGUGAACCUUAGAUAUCAAAGUUGUAAUUACAUUACGAAUUGCACCACUUGCAAUUGUAAGCAAGUAUGGGAAGCAGGAUAUUGCUCUAAACGAAAGCUAAGUAUCUCGUUUCCUAAUGAGAACUUGACAAUGUUAGGUUUUGCACUUCCUCUCUCGGCUAUCUUAUGGAUCGCUGUAAAUUGGCGAUUUCCAGUAUUGAUCCCAAAGUAAGGAUGAGCCAACUUGAUUAUUAGGGUCUUCCUGGUUGCCUACAAAUUUUUAAGGGCUUGUGAAGAUGGAGCAGUGACUGAUGUAGUGGUACUUAACAAACAAGCAUUUGCAAUUGCCCCAUUAGGCCAGGCUAAUUGUAUCACAGCAAAAGCCAAAGCCAUAGCGGUCAGAGAUCUAUACCAGGCCUUCAUUUCCUCUCUGUCACCGUCGUGAACGAAGAUUAUUAUGCAGUUUAGGAUGUGUAGUCCUUUAAUUUAUGCAUAAAUACUGUCUUCAAACAAUAUGGAUUUGAUAGUAGAGAUCCUGUGCUAAACUAUAUUUUACAUAUAUGCAAAUACCAACUGACUAGUACAUGUUCUUAAACUCUGCUAAGCAUAGCGUUAAUUACGUUUUAGUGACUAGGAAUGUUAAAUCAGAUAAGUUUGUAUAUUUUGGUUAAUUGAUUAUUCUCUCUUUUAUAUGGAGACAUAGUAUAUACAUCCACACCUUGUGGCACAAGUAAUAAUAAAGGAGAAUGUAUCCUAAACUAGGAAACCAAAUUACAUUCCAAGACUAAGUAAUGACUCAUGUCAACACUCCCCAUCAAGUUGGUGCAUAGAUAUCUCCUAGGCCCAACUUGUCAAGUGAGUCAUAAAACUUUCUAGCAAAGACUACAUGUGUUAAGAUGUCCGCCAACUAUUCCUCUGUCUUCAUGAAUGGAAUAUCAAUCAACUUAACAUCUAUCUUUUCUUCGAUGAAAUGUCUAUCUACCUUCAUAUGCUUGGUUCUAUCAGUUGUACCAGGUUGUUAGCUAUUUCCCGUGCUGCUUGAUUAUCACAAUACAACAUCAUAGACCCAUCUAGCUUAAACCUUAUCUCAGUGAGAAAGAUUUGCAGCCAUAAUAGCUCACAAAUUCCAUGAGCCAUUCCUCUGUACUCGGCCUCUGCUCAUGAUCUUGACACCACAUUUUGUUUUUUACUUCUCCAGGUCACAAGAUUUCCAGCUACGAACGUAAACUAGCCCGAUGUUGACCGUUGGUCGGUGAUAUUCCUUGCCCAAUUUGCAUAUGUGUAUCUUUUUACUUCCAUAUAUCCAUAUUUUUUAUACAUCAAUCCUUUCCCUAUAGCUCUUUUUAAGUAACUUAAGAUUUGCAUUACCAUCGCUAUAUGGUCUUCACUCGGAGCAUGAAAUAAACUGACUAACUACACUCACUGCAUAAGCAAUAUCCAGCUGAGUAAGUGAUUGAUAAAUUAAUCUUCCCACUAAACUUUGAUACCUCUCCUUAUUAGUCAAAAUUAGAUCUUGAUAGAUUGCAAGGUGAUGAUUCUGCACAAUUGAUGUAUCCACUGGCUUACACACCAACAUACAUGUCUUGGAUAAAAGAUCCAAUACGUACUUACGUUGUGAAAAGUAUAUCCCUUCACGAGACAGAGCCACUUCAAUUCCUAGGAAAUACUUGAAUCCUCCUAAGUCCUUCAUCUCAAAUUCAACAGACAAGUACCCUUGUAGUUUUUCAAUCUCUAUUGUAUCAUUACAUGUGACAAUCAUAUCAUCCACAUAUAUGAUGAGUAAUGUCACUUUUCCAUCCUUACGCUUGAUGAACAAAGUGUGAUAUGAAUUUCCCUGUCGGUAUCCAUACUUUUUCAUAGCCUAAGUGAAUCUCCCAAACCGCGUUGUAAGUGACUGCUUAAGACCGUAUAGCGCAUUUCAAAGUAUGCACACCUUCCCACUAGAGUUUGUAAUAGCGUACCCUGGUGGAAAGUCCAUGUAUACCUCUUCCUCUAAAUCUCCAUGUAAGAAAGCAUUUUUUACGUCAAAUGGUUGCAAAUGCCAAUCAAAUUUAGCAGCAAGAGACAACAGAACUCUAAUGGUAUUCAUCUUCACAAGAAAAGGUUUCUUGGUAAUCAACACCAAAAGUCUGGGUGUAUCCCUUUGCCACCAAUCUUGCCCUGUAUUUAUCAAUAGUUCCAUCUGCCUUGUGUUUAAUGGUAAACACCCAUUUACACCUUACCAGUUUUUUUCCUUCAGGAAGCAGCAUCACUGUCCACGUAUUAUUCUUUUGUAAAGCCUCUAUUUCCACCUACAUUGCCUCUGUCCAUUUUGGAUCCUUCGAGGUGUCCUCAACUCUUGUGGGUAUUUUUAUAUCUUCCAUUUGUUGAACUAAUGCAUAGUAACUUGGUGAGAGCUUAUGAGUAGACAUAUAGUGUGCAAUUAAAUAUAGAACUUUUCCCUCUGGAGAGUACCUGUCUGGGGGCUUUCCUCGAUUUUCUCUAAAAGGAAAUACAUAAAUAGGUUUAGUUCUUUCUGAGUUAAAACUUACCUCAGGGAUAUCCGAUUGAUCUUGGACGGGUACUUGAGGAGUGAGAGACAAGGUGUUGUUGCGGAAUUCAAUUUCUAGCCCACUUGGGCUAUUCAACACGGCAACAGCACCUGGCCUACUUGGGCUGUUCAAUUUGGUAACAGCUAACCCACUUAGACUGUUCAACUUGCCAACAUCAGCUGGCCCACUUAGGCUUAUCUCAAUUCUCGCUGCUGUCCCACUUGGACUUUUCUCGGUCCUCUCGGUAAUCAGCCUAUCUGGGCAUUCUUGCCUUUCAAUCACUUGGCCUUCUGGACUUUCUAUUUGCUUAUCAGCUAGCCUACUUGGGCUUUUUUCAACCAGCCCACUUAGGCACUCUUCACGUGUUAGUACAACUGGCAUAUCAAACCAGCCAUAGUUAUGGGAAUAAGAAAGGCUAGGUAUUAGCUUUCUUGGGAUUACUCGUUGGCUGACUCACAUGUCGUCGUCUUCCCCUGAAGAGUAUAGCUGGGGAGGGGGGAAAUAUUUCAUCUUUUGAGAAUGUGACAUCCAUAGUGACAUACAUAUGCCGAGUAGACGGAUGAUAACACCAAUAGCCUUUUUGUUGUGGACUAAAGUCAAGGAAAACACACCGAACUGCACACGAAUUAAGUUUGCUUCGUUGGUUUUUGUGGAGAUGGACGUAUGAUACACAUCCAAAAAAGGUGGUUCCAGGUGGAAUGGAAGGAAGCGUAACAUUGUCUGCAAGCACGGCCAAAGGAGUUCAGAAAGAGAAAACUCGAGAUGGCAUGCGAUUCAUAAGAUAAAUAGUAUAUGUCACUGUAUUUGUCCAAUACGCCUUGGGUGCACAUGCACCUAUUAAGAGUGCUCAGGUAGUCUCAAGAAUGUGACAAUUCUUUCUUUCUGCAACUUCGUUUUGUUAGAGUUUAAGGACAAGUAGUUUCAUGAAGGAUAUCGGGUUCCUUGAAAAUUUGAGAAAUAUGCUGAUUAACAUAUUCACCGCCAUUGUCAGAUCGAAGAACUUUAACAGGAAACGAGUAUUAGUUGAAACCAUGGAAUAGAAUGUCUUGAAAAGUUCGCUCACAUCACUCUUAUUUUUCAUAAGAUACAACCAUGUCAUCCGGGUACAAUCAUCAACAAAUAUCACAAGCCAACAUAUACCAUACUAAGUAGUAACUGGAAAUGUUCCCCACACAUCAAAAUGAAUCAACUCAAAAGGAUUAUUUAAACUUGGAGAAAAAGAAGCACGGUGACUUGUAGCUAAGGUGCAAGUAUUACACUUUACGGAAGAGUCUUAAAUAUUAUUAAAUAACGACGGAAGUAAUUUUCUCAAAUACCCAAAUGAAGCAUGACCAAGUCGACAAUGCCACAACUGAACAGUCUUCAUCCUUCCAUUGCUAUAACUUUAAUUUAUGAACACGAACUACAAGAAAACGUGGCUUUUGUGAUGACCAACAUUCGUCACAUAAAUAUGAAAAAUCGUCACAUUUGACUAUAUGUAACGAAAUUUCAGCGUCACAAUUAGCGUCACCUGUACAACUUCACUGAUAGUUUAAGUGACGAAUAUUGGAGUCGCCACAUAUUUUCCUUUUACGUGACACUUCUUCCGUCACUUAUUAUUCUAAUAUGUGAUGAAAUUAGCGUCAUAAAAUACAAAAUUCAGUGACCUAUGUUUUUCGUCUCAUAUCAGACUUAUAAGUGAUGCUUUUUGGGUCACUCAAUAUGAUCCUAGAAUUAUAUAAUUACACUAAGUGACGCGGAAAUCGUCACAUAUUCUUUUAAUGGGUGAAACGGCUUAUGUCAUAUAUAUUAUAAUCAAAUAACUAUUUAGGAAUAAUAUUUGAGGAAUUCAUUACUUAUUCGUGUUUCGUAAUCUAGAAUAGCAACUCAUAACAAUUAUAAGGUAAUACUUUCCAUUUUCAUUAAUCAACAAUUAAACCACAUAAGUUCGAAUAUGUUCAACAACUAUACAUCCAACAAAAUAACAUAAACAUCCCAAAAUCAAUCUAACCCAUGUUGACCUAUCUUAAUAAUAGCAAUUUGUGAAGAAGGGUACCAAGGCCUAUACAUGGACUGUUUAAGGUACUAAUUAAUAAAAGAAAAGUCUAAGACACAUUGAGGUGCUAACAAAAAGGUCUACCAUUUGCAUACUUAACUAAUAACAAAAGACAUAACUAUCAAAAUCAUUCUUCUUCCGAGUCAUGUUCUUCCAGUUCAAGAUAAACAUUUUCACUAGAUGAGUUAUUACCAUCAGAUUCCUUCGAGUUGUUGCUGGUCUGCCCCUGACUUGCAACAAAAAAAACCUUAAUUUUUUAUGCCAAGGUUUCAUCAUCAUUUUGUAAAUCCAACCGAGCUCUUAAUUGUUCAUUUUCCUGUUGCAAUUUGAGGAAACCAUCUGAUAGAAUCUUGAUCUGAUCUCUCAUGUUAGUUAACUCACAACUUGAAGCCAUAGAAGAAACACAACUAAAGGUAUCCGUACGAGGGAAAAGACCUACACCGUUAACAGGUUUUCCCUUCCUUCCAAGGUUCUUAGCCAUGAUUCCAAAUUCAUCUUCCAAUGGUACUUGUAUGGAAUCGAAUAUAGUACCCUCAGGCGCUUCUUGGAUUAGCUUCUCCCUAACUUCAUCCUUCUUUUUCUUCAUGUUAUCCUUUCAUAUUAAAAUACAAACAAAUAAGUUUCUUUUGUUUCAAACAAAUCAGCCACAAUACGCUUAAGAAAACAUCAUUUAAAUACUUUUGGAUGUGAUCCUGAACUGAUGUAGAAGCAAACCUUUGUGUAUAAACUGUCUUUACAUAUGAUUUUGUAGUUUAUGCUUCAAUGUGUUUUACAUAGGAUUAGGCAACAUACAACGUAUAACCUUUAAAGUAGUUUAUGUUUGAAUGUCUGCUAGGUAUAACCUUUCAACUUCUUGCUAGUUAUAUUAAGUUUUUUUUUCAAUUCAAUCUUGCAUGUUCACUUUAUUUGUGUUUCCUAAGUUGUAUCAUGUCAAAUUGGAUUUUUUUUUAAUCUCCAUCUCCCUUAAAAUGACACAAAUGAUAAGUUCGUGAAAGACUUUCAUAUUUGUCCCGGGCAACAUCAUUUAUCCAUGAUCGUUCUUGCCUUUAUGGAGAGCCCCCCAAUUGUCAAUCACAGAAAAUGGAUUUCCUUUCUGCUCAAUAAUGCAGAAACAUACAUUAGAAUAUGUAAAUUUCAUAAUGAGUAAUAAGUAAUUUAAUUUCAUUACCAUCUAGGCCUUCCUAGCAUGUUGGAUAAAUGGCUUUGCCUCUCCUUUGUGGUGACACUUCUGUUUCUUCCUAUUAUCAGCAUUUUGCUUUGAAAGCUCCUACAUUACACAUUUGGUACAUGACAUACAAAAGAAGAUUUAGUUAGCUAUACAUGUGUACAAUUUGGAAAGUUCCAAGCUCUCAAACUUGUCAUAUAUAACGUUAUGUAUUUCAGUUGUACAUAUUCAUUCACCUUAGAGGGCUAUCUUACCUCACCUUCUAUAUUCUCUCGGUUAACAAUGUUAGAAACAUCACAAGCUAAGGCGAGAGAAACAUAUAAACACCAAGCUUAAGGAAAUUGAAUGGAAGAUACUCUUUCUUCUACCAAGGGCAUUAGGCUAACACAUUUAGUCAAAUGAGUGUAUGAUAACCAUUUUCAAACAUUAAAUUUUAACUCCAAAUUACCUAAGUGUCAAGAAGUAACAAUCAACAAACUUCAUAUUUUAACUCAAAAUUACCUAAGUCUAAGGAAGUAACAAUCAAUUUAACCACAAGGUGAAAUUCAUUAAUGCAUGUUAGGAUAUUUUUAUUUCAAAUAUGGCUAUCGAAAUUAUUAGAUGAUAUGGGGUGACUGAUGCUGCAUAUAACUGAUGUUGUAUAACUGAUGCUACAUAUGACUGAUGAUGCAUAUGACUGAUGCUGCAUACUAACUGAUUAUUAGAUGAUAUGGGGUAACUGAUGCUGCAUAUGACUGAUGUUGCAUACAUAUGGGGUGACUAGUGCUGCAUACUAACUGAUUAUUAGACGAUAUGGGGUGACUAAUGUUGCAUAUGGAUAUUAGACGAUAUGGGGUGACUGAUGCUACCAGACUUUAUGUUUCCUCUUUCCAUGGGAUUCUCUAUUAAGUCUAAUCCCUUAAUUGAGGAAGAUUGACAUCUAGAUGACUUGUUGAUAGUUGUGUGCUAGCUACUUGUUGCACUCCCUUCAUUUAAGGAGUGAUAGCUUUAGGGUUUACCGGGUUAGUAAGAUUUACCAAGGUAGGGUUGCUUGUAACCUUCUACCUCAUUAUAUAUCCCCUCUUGUACAUUCAAUCAAUCUCUAAAAAAAUAAAUUCAAACAAACUUAAAAUUUCCACAGAAACAGAGGUUAUAUUACCUUUGCCGUAUUCCUAAUUCCAACCUAAUUAAAUAGGUGUUUGAGCAGAUUUGAAAAUUACAAGUAAAAAAGUGUGGUUGUAUAGCCAAGUAAGCUAAGAUACAUAAAUCCUAUCCCAACAAAAUAUAAAUGUUAUAGACAAACAACAUGAGAUCUUAAUCACACUCAAAGAAACAAAAUUCAUUUAAAAUAAACAGUUGAAACACUAAUCGGUGGCCUGCAAAAUGACACUAAGCAGAUGAGUUCCAUAAGAACAAAUCAGAUGAAUAUAGCCACCAACUACAAGACAGUGAAAAUCUCAAUAAAUAAAGGGAAAAUAAGAAACAAAAAGUAACAAAGCCAAGAUGCAGAAAUUUUAGCCAUAAAUACUGAAUUUAAAGAACGAACAUGAAAAAUGUCUAUGCAUUUCACUUUGUAAGGAUUAACCAGCCUACAACUAAAAUGAAAAUGAAGAAGCAUAUAAGGUAAGAGCUAGAAUGCAAGAGUUAUAACUAGAAACACUAUGUUCGAAGAACACAACAAGUCACAAUUUCACAUUGGAAAGUUAAGCAUAUGACAACCAAAAUGAAAAUGAAGCAUAAAAGGUUAGAGGUUCUGAAUAUAAAAAUUGAAUUUGUAGAACACUACAAGAAGUCUUCAUGUUGAAAGAAUUGGUUUCUAACUUGGAUUUAUACUAGAAAAUAUUAUAUAGAAUACAUACAAAAAAGAGUGUAGUAUUGUAAACAUUAUCACAUAACCAAUCCCAAUGACUCUUUGGUCUCUCAUUCCAUAUGAUAUCACUUGGAAGCUUAGCUCGUCCUCUCGCAGGUGUUCCACAUGACAAGUAGUGUAGAUGCAACUGGUGCCUAAACUGAGAGUACAACUUUGCCAUCUUCUUGUCAACAUAUUCAAUAAUCUUUGGAUGGGAUAAGUCCACAACAAAUAAUACCUAUUGUUAAACAUAAAUAUAUGCAAGUGAGUGCUUGAAAUUACAAUGAAUAAAUUGAAUUAAAUUCAAAACUCACAAGCAACUUCUCUUGUAGUUUCUUCUUUUUUGAAGCUGGGACAUUAAACCAUCUUUCAUAGCAACUUCUCUUGCAGUUUCUUCUUUUUCAAGGCAAACCUAGUCUUGACUCUUGCAACACCUCUCUCAAGAAAGACAACACACAUCUUAAUGGUUACAGACUUCCAACAUUUGAACAAAAACAAAAAACAAAAAGAUAACACUUAGUCAGGGGACUAAGAAAAAUAAAAACAUAUAUCAACCACCAAGACCAAAAUUUUGACUCCAAAGAGUAAAGAAGAAUCCAGAUUGGAAUAGAAAACUCAUUGCUAGUAUAACUCUCCCUGAAGCAGAGAACAAUUCACGAGCAAUAAGAUCUUUAGCGAAAGAAAAUCAGAAUAUGGGGAACAAUUAAAGAAAACAAAAAUCCAAAAACAAUUAAAGAAAUAUAGAGAAACAAAGUACCUUGUUUUCAACUGAAAGAACUUGAGAAAAAAUCGAACUUCUUUUUCUCCAAUUUGAUCUUGGUAGUCACCGUCGCUGGCAACAACCAAGUAGUUGGUCGUCGAAGUUAGGGUGAAGGAGUAGAUGAAAGGGUGCUGAAGACUGGGAAGAAAUGAGAAUAAAUGGAUAGGUUUUUGUGAUUUUGGGGUUUUUAAUAAUUAUUGCUUAUGGCCACUUUUUUUUAUUUUUAAAUUCAUAAAUAUUAAAAUUUCUUUUGUAAACUUUGGCCCAAUGUUGCCAGUGGCCUUCCGCAAAAAUUCUUAUGUGACUGAAUCUUAAAGUGACAUUUUUGCGUCAAAGUAUUCACUUUUCUUUAUAUGCGCUAUAACUUUUACAGCCCAAACUUUCCUAAUCCAAUGUUUAGUGUGACCAAAACAAUUUAUUAAUCCACACAAAAAAAAAAAGUAAAAAAUUUCACACACAGUUUAAUGUCAUUUGACGCCACAAAUAAAUUUUUGAGUGUUGGCCCAAUUCAAUGGCUAAAAUGCUAAUAAUUUGGAUAUCCAAGAGAAAUGGUAAGCAUGACAACCCAUGAUCAAUUAUCGUGGAUCAAUAAUCAAUUUAAAAUGCCAUAUUCCAGAUUCAAUGUAAUUUAUACCCCGGCCCACCGUAUUUAUGCCAAGAACUCAUACAAUGAAGCGGAGAAAGUUGAGUUUAGAUUGAGGUAAGAGAUAGACGGGUUUGAUCGUUAAGACAUGAACCAAUCAUCGGGGUUCAAUGCCAAGGCGAGGAAAACCAAUGGGUUCAUCUUUUCAAAGAUUGAGGAAAUCUUAUGAUAGGAAAAAGGAUUUACACAUGGAUUAUAAUAUUUGGAGGAAAAAGGUUUCAUAAAUGGGGUCUAAAUUCUUUGGAAGUAUUUUAGGAAGAAAUGAGUAAGAGUAGCUUUAUAUUAUAGGGAAGAAAUCCAGUAGUAUCCAAGCUAUAAAGGAUAUGUAUGAUGAAGCAAAGACUGCCAUAAGAACUCAUGAAGGGCAAACUAAAAGCUUCCCCAUCACUGUAGGGUUACAUCAGGCUCAUCCUUAAGUCCUUACCUUUUUGCAUUGGUAAUGGAUGAGUUAACGGGACAUAUUCAAAAUAAUAUUCCUUGGUGUAUGCUUUUCGCAGAUGAUAUAGUGUUUAUAGAUGAAACUCAGGAAUGGGUAAAUGCGAAGCUUAACCUUUGGAGAGAAGUGUUGGGAUCUAAAGGUCUUCGCCUAAGCCGAUCAAAGACAGAAUUUAUAGAGUGCAAGUUCAGUGCAAAUGGAGGCCAAAAUGAGUUAGGGGUAAGGAUCGGAUAUCAGGAAGUACCAAAGAGCGACCGCUUUCGCUACCUAGGAUCUAUCUUGCAAAAGAACAAAGAAUUAGAUGGAGACCUCAACCAUAGAAUACAAGCUGAUGAAUGAAGUGGAAGAGUGCAUCCGACGUGUUGUGUGACCGCCGUGUGCCAUUGAAACUCAAGGGAAAAUUUUACAGAACGGCAAUAAGGUCGGCAAUGCUGUAUGACACGAAAUGUUGGGCAAUGAAGCAUCAAUACGUACAUAAAAUUGAUGUAGCGGAGAUCUUCGUUGGAUGUGUGGGCACACGAGAAAUGAUAAGAUUAGGAAUGAGGAUAUCCGAGGUAAAGUAGGAGUAGCCGAAAUUGAAGGAAAGAUGAGAGAAAAUUGGUUACGGUGGUUUGGACAUGUGCAAAGAAGGCUUACUGACACUCCGGUUAGAAGAUGCAACUACGGGAUAGAGGUCCAUGGCCGAAAGGGUAGAGGAAGACCUAGGAAAACUUUGGAAGAGACUGUAAGAAAAGACUUAGAGUACUUGGAUUUAACGGAGGACAUGAUACAGAACCGAGCGCAAUGGCGUUCCAGGAUUCAUAUAGCCGACCCCACUUAGUAGGAAAAUGUUUUGUUGUUGUUGUUGUGGUGUUGUUGGCCACAUAGUGGGCUGCUGUGCUUUGAAUGCCAAGCCCUUCAUAGAGGGCAGUUGCCACGGUAGUGGUAUUUCCAGACCUAUUGGGUCUUGCGGUAAUUGUUUCUGGCCCAUUGUAAUGGGCUGCUAUUGCAGCCAAGCCAGGAUCGGCUUCGGCCUUCUUUCCCAGUGGGAUAACGGCUCCUUCUCCAGCCAUCGCAGCAAGCUUGUGUUUUGGUUUUCUGUGUUCCUGGUUCCUGGACGUUCUGCAGGUCUAUCCCUUGUCUUGGAAUGCAGCAGUACAGAUAGUUCUAGGAUUGGAGAGAGACCAGGCCAAAAAAAAGGGGCUCUGAUUCCAAGAUAAAGUUUGUAUAUUUUGGUUAAUUGAUUAUUCUCUCUCCAAUAUGGAGACAAUAUAUAUACAUCCACACGUUGUGGCACAAGGAAUAAUAAAGGAGAAUGUAUCCUAAACUAGGAAGGAAUCUCUCUAAUCUAGGAAACCAAAUUACAUUCCAAGACUAACUAGUGAAUCACGUCAACAAAAUCUAUCUGAUAUAAUUAUUGGUAGACGUAAGAAGUUUGAAUUGCUCAAACCGGAAGGAAGUUGGAGGCUAUUGGCCAGUUACUCAUUGGUGGUCAUAUUUUUAGAUAAAAUAUAGGGAAUUGUUAGUGGCACUACAAAUAUAUAACAAUGAUCGACUAAACUAAUUGAUGUUUUGGUCAAGAGGUGUUGAAGAAUAGUAUAGCAGCUGUCAUUUCCAAAUUAUAACGGCUAAAAAUUCCAGUACAUCUUAUACACUGAGCAUAGUAGAAUUGUUGUCUUCGUAGUUGCAUGGAAAUCUUGAGGGAUGGCUGACAUGGUCAUGGACAGUGCAAAAGCAAUCAGAAGUCUACACCAGGAUAGAAUUAUUUGUGGUAUUUUUCGGUGUACUUUAAUCCCUAGUUUACUCAUCAUGUGACGGUCAAGAUUUUUUAUUUGUUACUUCUCACUCAAGAGAAACAAAGAAAGUUAACUCUUGACGUUUAUGAUGACUCCGUAGUCGUUUAUUAGACCUAAAUUUCUCUUGCAAAACUACGGAUUUUUUUUUUUUUUUGUGUGGAUCUGAUAUCAAUAGAUCAUGUGCUAAACUCUGUCUCACAUAAAACUUCGAUAUAUUUUUCAACAGGGCUCAUGUGAUCGGGCACGUUAUAACAGUACUAUUAGUGAGUCACUAGGUAGUGGUUUCUUGAUAACGUGGAGAUGGGGUUUUGAACAGCUGCUAGGAAGCUUACUGUACUGAUACUCAUUUGGAUGAAGAUGAGAACAUCAAGUUUGGAUCUUGUAAUACUGUGUAUUUCCCCCAAUUUUAUUGGAUUAGUUAUAAAAAUGAGCGUUGCUAUGCCGAUCCAACUGUUAUAUUUCUUACCGGCUUUAUAACUUAAAAAGUAAGUGACAAAUCAAAUGUAAGAUGGUAAGAAAAUAGACCAUGUGAGUACGCAAUAUUUGAGCAGAAAAACCGAGUACAUACCAUAUUGAACCAAAGGUUUGAAAUCAUUUAUUUUAUACUUUAUACCAAUAAAAUUCUUGAUUCUAUGUAAAACAACUUAAUCUUAUUAGGUUGGUCAAAGUAUGAGAAAAUUAUUAUCGCGAUAUAAAUUCGCUUCACGUAAGACACCCAUCUUAGUGCAAAAUCCAGUUUGAGGAGAAAACGUUUGAUGUUGAUCAUACUCUUCAAUUCGAGAUUGCUAAGGGUAUAUAUAAAAGUUCCCUUUUUGUAACCAUAAAUAUAGAGUUCUUAUUCUAUAUAUACAUUAAAAACAGACUACAAAUUUACACUCAAAAGUUAGAGCUAACAAAACCUCAGGUAGCAAAAUUGUACUUGCAUUUCAAGUAGUCUAGAAAUGAAUGACAAAAAAGGAAGCUAGCUGCAUACUAUUAUUCUUCUGUACUCUCCCUCUUUCAACAAUCUCACGGAGGUUUAGACCUGGCAACAAAAACAUGGCAGUUGAGGUCAAUUACGGGAAAUCUUCAAAUAGUGGGGAGAGAGAGAGAGAGAGAGAGAGAGAGAGAGAGAGAGAGAGAGAGGCAUGAAAACGCUGAAAGCAGUAGUAAGUAGUUUUACUUUACUUGUUCUGUGUGGGAUUUGGAGUGCUUGGAGGAAUCCUUCUAAAGCUUGAGCCAAUUUGCUUAUUAGGGUUCUUCUUCUUGUCUGCCUCCAAAUCUUUAAGACCUUGUGAUGAAGUUGAAAAAUCUGCUUCUGAUGCAGCUGCCGAAGCAGAAGCCAAUGGACGUGCUUCUGCUGUUGCAACAUUAGGCCACGUCGAAAAUACCAUGGAAAUUGCAAGAGCCAAAGCAGCCAGAAUUCUAGACCAACUCUUCAUAUUUUUGAUAACUUUUAGAGUGAGUGAAGUGAAGAUGGAUAUUUUGGAAGAAGCUUAUGAUUAGAUGGGACAACAAAUGUUUAAUUUAUACCAAAUUUUGUUUGGAAAAAAAGUUGAAAAAAAAAACCUAUCACUCACACUUUUUUUAUUUUUGACUAUUGAAUUGAAUAAAUUACACAAAAAUAACAAACAUAAUUGAACAUGAGUAUGUAGAAAAAUAAAAAAAUUUGUAUUUAUCGUUUCUCAAAAAAUUCUCAUUUGGGAUCUGAUACGAGUGGGAUCAUGUGCUCAAACUUUGACUGAUGAAUGCUGCAGAUUUUGUUGAAAAAAGAUGAUGUAUUUGUUUUUGGUAAUUGGGGUCAUGUGAUGAGGCACAUGAUUUUGAUAUUGAUAGUAAUAUUAAUUGUGUUUUGGGAAGCCAAAAGAGUGGUUAUUAUGUUAAUAGUGAUAAGGCAGUGGUACUAGAAUUAGGACAGUGUUGGAUCUGAAGUGUUUAAACAAUAUGGUAGAAGCUGACUAGAGAGUGUAGCAGUUGGUAGUAGGUGGCAUACACACAGCUGUGGGAUUGAAGCGUCUCAAUCUGCACCUUCUUGAGCUAUGCAUGGUUGACACUUAUAAAAGCAUAGUUCAUAAACCAUGCAAAGCUGGCACCUUUCGGAUCCUCUUUAUGAAGCUCUCGGAGAUCUGUAAAUUAUAUCCGUUCAUUGUACAUCGAGCGGUCAAAAAUUAUUUUAAAUAUUUUUACUGAAAAUUUAACUUUCCCCCUCCAAACUCAUUUUUUCUAGCCUCUAGCCCAUCAUAUAAUAUUUAUCCGAAUAAAACCCAAUGAUUAGGAUCCAACUAAGCAACUUACCAAAUUAAGUUUGUGUGUCUGUUUUUAUAAUUUUUGGAUCCCUAAUAUACCCCCAUCUAAGCAAGUAUGGAAAGUUCUUGUAAUUUUGUUUUAAUUGAUCACGUGCAUUGAAUUUGGUGAGGUCUUGUAGCCAUGAAAUAUGGUUCUAGAUGGAGGAAUUAAUUUGGAAACUUUUUUAGUUUUGACAAUAAAUUUCAAUUUGAAUAUACCUAAUUUAGUGUUUAUUUUCAACAAUAUCUAUUGCUUAAUUUUAUGAAAAUAAUUCACCUACUAUGAAAAUUAAUUUUAUGAAAACAAUAUCUAUUGUUUAAUUUUAUACCUACAGUAUAAUUACAAGAAAAUAGUUUACCUACUAUGAAAAUUAAUUUUUUCAAAACAAUAUCUAUUGUUAAAUUUUACGAAAAUAAUUUACCUAUUGUAUAAUUACUGAAAAUUAAUGUGCCUACUUUUUAAAUUUGUAACAAAAUUAAUUUACCUACUUCUUUUUAUGGUAUUAGUAUACAUAAAUGUAGAAUAUAUGUCCGUAUAUAUUUGAUCUAAUUAGGUUUUGGAUUGGAGGAGUUCACACAAAAUUAAAAAUAUAUUAAACAAAUUAAAUGUCUAAAAGAAACGUAUAAGAGAUUUGGUGGCAUGAUUUUGUAAAUAAACUCAAAUUCAUGGACAUCUUUUAUCCAACAUGACAUCAUAUUUAAAAUUUGGGUUUUAUUUAGAAGUUAUAAUAUAUGUGGGUUUUUGUCUAGAGUUUAAGAAUUGCAAGGAUUUAAAUCUAAAGAACCCAUAUUUUUAUUUAAAAUUAAAUACAAACAGGACCUGACAAAAACUUACCACACGAUGUACGAUGAACAGACACAAUUUAUGGAUCCUCACCAAAAAAGGAUCCGGAGAGGAUCUUGUUGACCUUGGGCCUGAGGGUGGGUUUGUCGCCCAUUACCAUAGCCACGACGUCAUAUGUGGCUGCUGGAAUUGGUCGCAUGUGCUUCAAGCGAAGUGUUCGAGCCAGUGGGUCGAGCUUGAUGAUUUCUCAUCAAAAGCUAGUUCUGCUUUUUAGUGAGAAAUAAAACAGAAAUCAAAUUCGAAAAUUUGGUGAACUUUUGUGCCCUAUAUUAUUGUUGCAGGACAAUAUUGGUGGCAUGGAAGGUCGAAUAGGUCUUCUCUAGGAGAUUUGCAUCUGUUAAGCCAUCUUUACAGAACUUAAACAAUGAUCGGAUUCUACAAACUUCAGAGUUGUAUUCAUUCACGAACUUCAAUUCUUGGAAGCGUAAAUGCUGCUAGUCAUGCUUCAUGCAAGUAAAUGCCUUUCUGGUGAUUAAAACGAUCAGCCAGAGCAAGCCAGAGGGUGCGUAGAUCCUCCUCAACAAGGUACUCAGUCUGCAGUGCAUCAUUGAUGUGUCUUCGAAUGAAGAUCAUUGCAAUAGCUCUCUCAGUUUCGUAGACGGGUUGUCGUAGGUAGGUUCCUCAAUGGUGGCUCUAGUACCCUUUGCAGUAAGGUAGAGUUUCACGUCUUGAACCCAUUUCAUGUAGUUUCUUUCAAAUACUUCCAAAGCGGUUAAAUCAGGCUUGUUCAAGUUCGACAUAUCCCUAAAACGGAGGGUACAACAAAACGUAGUUAGUCAUAUGGUAAUCCAUAGACAUACAUCGUAGAACAUUUGGGUUCUGUAGACAUGUAUUGGUUUAAUUUAAGCAUGAAAGCUACAGGUUUCAUGUGGUAAGUUUUGAAUGAAACUUCGGGUUUCAAAGGCACUAAAUAUGAAAUUACAAGUUCAAUUUAGUUUUAUGAACGAUUAGUUCAUAAAGGAGAUGUUCAUGCAAGAACACAGAAUGCAAUAUGCUGAUUUUAAGUGUAGUGGAUUUGAGUUGCUUAGGGAACUCAAGUGUGAGAACUUCUAGACUAUGAAAUGAUGUCAAUGGUUCAAAGUAGAAAAAUAAAUUAUUGAAUCGUUAAUGUCCAAAAGUGAUCUUCAAGUCAAUAAUUUUGGAUUAAUUAUCAGAUUAAUGAACUGCGAGUCACUUUUAAUUAAUUCAAUAGAUCGGGACCAAACGGGGGUGUGGAAGCAAAAUAAUGACAGACGGGUCAUAUUAGCUUCAAUUGGUGAUAGGCCAAAGUACCCCAAAUAAUAUUUGGGUAUGACUUAUAAUGCGGGAAUGCCAGAAAUUGACAUUGGGUUGAAAAAGAGAACGCGACCUAGCACAAAAAAAAAAAAAAAGGUUGACGGCGGUGCGAGGAUAGGCCUUGCAGCACGGCUACAGGCCAGUGGGCAAGCCUCUGGGCUAUAUGGUAUGUGUAAGUCCAACAGGAAGUGCUACUGUUUUGGGCAAAAAACAGGGCAUAGGUGUAGGCCCAUCAUGUACUGGCCUGCGAGUUGGUGUAGGGAAGCCCAACCAAGGCUGGGGUCUACUUUUUUGGGUUAGGGAAAGUGAAGCCUAGCAGCAUAAGCUUCUGCCUAGCAACAACAAGCUGCUGCAAGUAGGCCUGAGCAUGGGACAUGAAAAGCCUAGCAGCUCUAGGUUGAUGAAGUUGAGCCAGGAACGAGCAAGACAAGGCUAAGAAAGCAUUCAGGCCUUCUCAGUUUGGCUAGAGGCUUUAGGUCCGUGAUUACCCUAUGAGGCCUAGGGCCUGGGUUGUUUGGCUUGAGUAGCAAAGCCCAAAGAGCUGUUGUCGUGUGGUCUAGGGCUUCAAACGACGACGUUCCCAUGUUUGCUCCACAUGGAUGGGCUGCAGGCCAGCUACAGUGGUUGGCGAUGGUGCCUAGCGGUGGCGAGCAGCAGCCAUGCUGCAUAUUUCCUAGAUUUUUCUUUUUUUCGACUUUUCUAGGGUUUUAAGAACCCUAAGUUGCUUCUAAUUUAUUUAUAUGCUUUGACUCACAAAUUCCACAUAGAAAAAAAAUAAUUGCGUAAUGCAUGAAAAGUAUAUGUGUAUGUACACACACACACACACACACACACACACAUACAUACAUACAUACUAGCCUUCAUGCACACGCUCACGCGCGUGCAGAAGACAUUUUUUGGAUCACGGCGUGCUACGCAUGACUUACACGUUUUAAAUGUAUUUAUAUGCGUAAAUUGACAAAAGGAAAGUCAAAUAUUUGAAGUAAAUGAAUAAUCAGAAGAAUAAACUAAUUAAAGCAGUUGAAUUCACAUAAUAAAAUCAGUCUCUAUAGAAUUUACGUUAAGAAUAGAGAAAAUAAUAUUUAAUAAGCAAUUGAUAGAAUCACAUUAUUGUUAGCCCAUUGUGAGACUAAGCUCACCCCUUCCUCCUUAUUAUAGAUAAUAUCAUUUGUUAAAAAUAAAAUAAAAACAAUCAUUUGAUAACUAAUUUAAUCACAGAAAAUAAUAUUUAAUAAACAACUGAUUGAAUCACAUUAUUGCUAGCUCAUUGUGAGGUUAAGCUCACCCUCUCUCCCUUAGUGUAGAUAAUAUCAUUUGUUAAAAAAAAAUCAUUUGACAACUAAUUUAAUCAUAUUAUUAUUCACGUGCGAAAUACCUUUUUUUUUAUAACUGGCAUUACACGCCUCUUAAGAUGUUUUAAACGUGCUUAAAAUAGAAAAAUUGAAUCACAUUAUUGCUAGCCUAUUAUGAUGUACUAAUUUUUUUUUAAAGCACAAAAAAAUUAAUUAUUAAAAAAACACUAUUAAAAUUAUGAAAAUGUCUCUGUCUUAUUUAAUACAUUAUUUUGGGAUGCCUUUGAAGUUUUUUGUCUUGGGGGCAUUUUUGUCCAAAUAUUUUUUGAAGCUUGGUGACACCAAAAGCACUAUUCACCUUUGUAACAAUCAUUUGACAACUAAUUUAAUCAUAUUAUUAUCCGCGUGCGAAAGACCUUUUUUAUAACUAUCAUUGCACGCCUCUUAAGAUGUUUUGAACAUGUUUAAAAAUAGAGAAAUUGAAUCACAUUAUUGCUAGCCUAUUGUGUUCUAAAAGACGUUACGCACUAAUCAGGCAGCAAGCUGGGGUCUAGCGCCUAAGCGCCUAGGCGGGGGUCUAGGUGGACUAGGUGGAUUUAAGUAAAUUUAUUAUAUUUUGCGUAAAUAAGUGUUUGUUUGUACUUAAAAUAUAUAUAAACUACAAAAUAGAAUGACAUAUAUAUUAUGAAGUAUUGGAACAUAAUGAAAAUAUGGGGAACAAACAUAUAAUGUGUGUUCAUUUAAGUAUUCAACAAGUCUCUUACAAUUUAUUGAAAAAAAUAAUAUGCAAAAUGAAAUUUAUUUAUUUUCUAUCUAUGUGAGUCACAACUUAGGCAGGUGCCUAGGCGCGUCUGGGCGGGCUAGACGGGUGCUUAGGCGGUCUAGGCUGGCACCUCAGCAAGUCUAGGCGCCCUUUCUUAAUUUUCAAACGCCUAGGCAUUAAUCGUGGCGGUGACCAGCCGUCUAGCGCCUAGUCGGGGUGUAGGCAAGGAUUUUUAGAACAAUGAUUGUGAGGUACUAAAUUUUUUUUUUUUAAACAAGCAUAAAAUUAAUUAUUUAAAAAAUACUGUUAAAAUGAUGAAAAGGCCCCUGCCUUAUUUGAUGCAUUAUUUUGGGAUGCCUUUACAGUUUUUUGUCUUGGGGGCAUUUUUGUCACAGCCCGUCCCGGAGAUGUACGUUAAUUAUGUUAUCGACGGUGUGAAAUUACCUAAAUAUCCUUGGACGUUGAGAAUUAUUAUGGGAUGUUGUGGUUUAAACUUAAGAUUUUGGACCAAUUAGUUAUAUUCCUCUUUUAGUGGAUCCAAUUAGAACUAAGUGUUCUCUUAGUUGUGAUUGGUGUGCAUUUUGGGACCACACACACAUCCCUACCCUUUCUCUCUCUUCUCUCCCGUACUCUCUCUCUCUCUGUUUCAGUCUCUCUCUCCUAGCUAUAAGUACGGACAAGGGCAAGAACACCCCAAACUUCGCAGAUCGAAGGUUUUGAGUGCACCAUUGUGUUCCUCGUGGUGCUAUGAGUUGAUUGAUAUCCAUUUCAGGUAAGGAUACUUUUGAUACCUCGAGAACCCACGAAACAAAGUUUUAUGCACUGUUCACAUGGACGUAAAACUACUUGUUUCAGGGAACUUGAAGCUCAUAGGGAGCUUUAUGAGGUCCUAAAGAAGCUCAGGGUGGUUCAUUGGAAGAGUUUGGACGUCGGAGGGUCGAGAUCGAAGUUUUUCAAAGUUCAUCGGAUUAUCGAGCUUCCUCAGGUAAAUUCUAGUGGAUUUCAAGGCUUAAAAAUGGUAUAACGUGAUUCUACAUGUUGUUAGCUUUCCAAUGGUUCAAAUUUCAUAAGUUUUGGUGAAGAAUCGAGUGAGAACAAAGGUUUUGAAGUUUUACCCAGUUUUCCGGCGACCGGCGACUCGUUGGAGACGAAGACAGAAUAUUCUGUCAGUUUGGACAGAAUAUGCUGACGCCGUCAGUUAGUUUGGACGUUUACCGUUAGGAUUAAAUGGAAUAUUCCUGACGGCAUUAACUGACGCCAUCAGUGUGCCUGACACAUGGCCGCGCGUGGGGGAGCGUCUAGCCGUGCCAUUGUCGGCGCGUGGGGGCGCGUGAGGCUUCCAAAAAUUUAUCUAAAAAUUUGGGGAUGAUCCUGAGGUUGUGUAGGUCACUGUGGUAUAUUCAUAUACCCAUUUUGAGCUAUGUAUGAUAAGUUAUUAGCUAGUUUUGCCUAUGUGCUUUAAAAUAACGUUUUUAUAGUUAAUUCGCAUAUAGGUGAGACUUGUCCCGAGGACGAGCGUAUCCAAGGGUGACUCGAGGGCUACGACCCUUCGACUUAUCAGUGAGUGGGCUUUUGGUUUUCAGUAUAUAUUAUAUACUUGAUAUUUUUCCCAGAAAUAUGUGUUUAAAUGAUAUUAUGCCAUAAUGCCAUGCAUAUAAGUUUAUAAUUCAUACAUGAAUUGGUAUGUGAUGAUUUAUAUAUAUAAUUGUGGUGUUGUGGACGCUCAGGUAAGCCCAGGUAAGUUAUGUUUGGUUAUGUUUGGUUAUAUGAAUCAUCGAUGAUGUGAUAUGUGAUUGAAUAAUGUUGAGCUCAUAAAACUGCACUUAGGGUGAUUGUGAUUUAGCCAUAGAUAUGGCACAUGCUUGUUUAUUAUGUCACCACCCGCACCAUAUGCUCAUAUUGGAUCCAAUUUAGGUGCACAGUCUUGUCGUACAGACCUUAUUUAUGGUUCGACUCAUAGGUGACUAGCGAUUUAUCGCCUAGCUAUUAUGUGAGAGUAGAAUUGAGCAUGAUUGUAUUACACCCAUUAUUGUCGUAUAGACCUGUUUGUUUGGUUCUGACUCUUGUGCAGUAUGUUGCCGUAUAGGUCAUUGUUUACUCUAUUAUAUCUUGGCAUGACAUACAUAUGAAAAUGAUUAUGUGUAUCAUGAAUUGAAUUGAUAUGAUUUCAUAUAUAUAUAUAUAUAUAUAUAUGUAUGUAUGUAUGUAUAUGCUUAUGUCUUGAUUCUGGGAAAAAAUUAUACAUGUUUUACAGCGAGGAGUUAGUUAUGUUGAUAAAUGAAAUGAUUUUGUAAAACAUUUGUUUUUGCCCACUCACGUUUUCUGUUUUGCGCCCCUCCAGGUUUUAAGUAAGCUUGUUGUUGGUGGCUUGAGGACGUCGGCAGUUCUGACCUAUCUAAAUAAUAGUAGGACAUUCCUGGUACUGUAUAACUAAUACUUAUCCUACUGGACUGCACCUAGACUUAUGCUCUGAGUAGGAGUGUUUACUGUUGUAACUAACUCCUAUCACUUCUUAUUUAUUAGUGCACUCUAGUAAUUUGGUUUUUAAUUAUUCGUAUAUUUCUUAUCAUUAUUGUUUCCGCACUGUGCACAUGGCUACGUCACUCUCACGUAAUAGCCAGCAUGCCUUGAUCUCAGUCGGAGUGUGUCAAUUUUUGUCCAAAUAUUUUUGUUGAAGCUUGGUGACAUCAAAAUCACUAUUAUUGCUAGCCCAUUGUGAGAUUAAGCCCACCCUUCUCCCCUUAGUGUAGAUAAUAUUGUUUGUUAAAAAAAUAAUCAUUUGACAACUAAUUUAAUCACAUUAUUAUCUGUGUACGAAAGACCUUUUUUAUAACUGGCAUUACACGCCUCUUACGAUGUUUUCAACGCAUUUUAAAAUAGAGAAAUUGAAUCACAUUAUUGCUAGCCUAUUGUGAGGUAUUAAUUAAAAAAAAAACACACAAAAAAACAAUUAAAAUGACGAAGGCAUUUUUUUUAGUCACGGCGUGGUACACGCGACUUACACGUUUUAAAUGUAUUUAUAUGUGUAAAUUUACAAAAGAAAAGUCAAAUAUUUGAAGCAAAUGAAUAAUCUUAGAUCAUGCUAGAAGAAACCCCUCAUAAACCAAUUAAAAUAGCUGAAUUCACAUAAUAAAAUCGGUCUCUAUAGAAUUUACAUUAAUAAUAAAGAAAAUAAUAUUUAAUAAACAACUGAUUGAAUUACAUUAUUGCUAGCCCAUUGUGAAGCUAAACCCACCUCAUUCCCCUUAAUGUAGAUAAUAUCAUUUGUUAAAAAAAAAAACAAUCAUUUGACAACUAUUUUAAUCACAUUAUUAUCCACGUGCGAAAGACUUUUUUUAUAACCGGCAUUACAUACCUCUUAAGAAGUUUUGAACGUGUUUAAAAUAUAAAAUAAAAAUAUUUAAUAAACAAUUGAUUGAAUCACAUUAUUGUUAGCCCAUUAUGAGGUUAAGCCCACUGUCACAUCCCCGCCCGGGUCCACCACAUCCCGGGACCACUUCACCACCAUAGCACGAUAUUGUCCACUUUGGGCCCCGACUACGCCUUCAUGGUUUUGUUUUUGGGAACUCACGAGCAACUUCCCAGUGGAUUACCCAUCCUGGGAGUGCUCUGGCCUCCUUCUUGCUUAACUUCGGAGUUCCUACGGAACCCGAAGCCAGUGAGCUCCCAAAAUGCCUCGUGCUAGGUAGGGAUGAGAAUAUACAUUAAUGAUCACUCCUCUGGACGAUGUGGGAUCUUACACCCACCCAUCUCCCUUAGUGUAAAUAAUAUCAUUUGUUAAAAAAAAUAUAUCAUUUGACAACUAAUUUAAUCACAUUAUUAUCCGCAUGCGAAUGACCUUUUUUAUAACCGACAUUACACGCCUCUUAAGAUGUUUUGAACGUGUUUAAAAAUAAAGCAAUUGAAUCACAUUAUUGCUAGCCUAUUGUGAGACACUAAUUUUUUUUUUUCAAAAUAAAAAAAAAACAAACCACAAAAAAAAAUUAAUUAUUAAAAAAAUACUGUUAAAAUGACGAAAAUGCUCAUGCCUUAUUUGUUGCAUUGUUUUGGGAUGCCUUUGAAGUUUUUUAUCUUGGGAGCAUUUUUGUCCAAAUAUUUUUGUUGUUGGUGACAUUAAAAUCACUAUUCACCUUUUUCAUUGGCUUUAUAUAUGUAUAGAAGAUAUAUAUAUAUAUAUAUAUAUAUAUAUAUAUAUAUAUAUAUAUAUAUAUAUAUAUAUAUAUAAGGAAAAUAUAAAUAUAGGGGUUCAUGCAUCAUGAGGAAUGUUUUCAUGCUUCAUUGACGUUUCAAAUAUCUUACUUUAUUUUAAGCGUACCUGAUUAGCAGAAGAAAAUAAAUAAAAGCCUUUGAAUUUUGUGGGAAAAAACCUCCUCCUAGGAUCCUUCAGUUCCUUAACUUCUGGCAAGAGCAUAUUGAUAACGUAUUGUAAGCCUAUUUGAUUGAACUGUAUUUAGGACUAGAGAGGGAGAGGGCUGACAGUAAUUGAGAAAAGAGAGAUUUUAAUUAUAAGGUGCGUGUUGUAUCACCUGAUUGUGCCUUUAUUUAUAGUAGUACGAUAUGUUAAAUCUUUACCCUUAUAGAAUUACAACUCUAAUAGAAUAAUAAAUACUAAAGGGACUAUUCAAAGAUGUCCCGAGAUACACUAGGAUUUACACAAUCACAUUCAUAUUCUAAAUAUAACUGCAACAAAUAAUACAAUAUAAUUGAAUUUUAAGGGCAAUAUACUAAAUAACACACUAUGCGUUUUUCAUGUUCCACACCUUUACAUUUUUUGAAACAAACCAUACCUUUAAGUUAACUCCAUUUUAACUAGGGGUGGGCACGGGCCGGGCCGGGCCCAAAAUUAAAGGAACCGGACCGGACCCGUUUGUAAAUAAAACGGGGCGGGGCGGGGCGGGUUUUGGAUUUUUCAAAAUAGGAUCCGGACCUAACCCAGCCCUUUUAAAACGGGCCGAUUCCUACGGGUCCCCACGGGUCCUAAGGGUAACCUUCAAACGUUGCAUACUCGUCGGUGGCGGAUCAGCAAUGGCUUUAAAAUCAGAGGAGACGAUGCAUUUCUAGCUGCCAUCAAACAAUUUGUUCGUCCAUGGUUUUGAAUCUGCAACAUAACAUUUAUCAAGCGCUCGAUGGCUUGACAAUUACAACCGUAAUCAAACAAUUCAAAGCUAAAAGUACUGAAGACCAACAGUACAUCCACAACAAUGAAGCAUCCACUACGAUAAUCCAUGCCAAGAAACCCAAUGGUUUUAUCCACUAAUUAAAAAAUCAAGAUGGCUCAAGCCGAACUGCUCUUAGAACAAACGAAUUCAUAAAAUACAAAGGGUAUGUUCAAUGAAAACCCAAAUUCUCUUAGAACCCACAACAAAAAACAAAAAACAAAAAACAAAACAAAAACAAAAAAAACAAAGGGCAUUUUCAAUGAAAACCCAGAUGCUCGAAAGUCUAAACUCCACAACAAAUUCAAAAAAAAAAACCCAUCUCAGAUUUCCCACCAUACCUGCAGAUUAAUGAAAACCUAGAUGGGCUAGAUGCCAAAUCUUGCAGAAAAUUAAGAUCUGAGAUGAGACACUGGAAGACUAAGAACAAAGGGCAUAGUGGUCGAUUUCAAUUUGCUUGGCGCUGACGAUGGUGGUGUUUGACAAUCUCGAGGCGCUGAUGUUAAGGAUCUUCAUCCUCUUUGCUUGGGACUGUAGAGUUCGACAAUCUCGAUUUCAAUUUGGAAGAAGAUGAGAUGGUGAUGAAUUUUGAUUUUGAUUGAAGAGUUGGAAGACGGACAGGGGGAAUCGAAGACAGUGAAUUGGAAGAAGAUGAGAUGGUGAUGAAUUUUGUUUGACAAUCUCAAGGCUUUCGUGUUGAGUCGGUGAAUUGUGAUGGCUUUCGUGAAUGAAUGGGAGAGACAAGAGAGAAGUCUGACUCAGAAAAGAUCCAAUCAAACGGUGAAGUGGAGGUGUGAUUAAAUCCAAUCCAAUAAUCCAACGGUAGAAACGGUUUGGGCCGAGCCCCCGUUUUUCCUGAUUUUUAGACCUGCCCCGCCCCGUCAUUUCCUCCACCCUGCCCCGCCCCGCCCCAUUUCUUCUCCAAAAUAUUUAGACCCGCCCCGUACCCGCCCCGAUCCGCUUGGACCCGUCCCGACCCGCGGGUCCAGGACCCGUUUGCCCACCCCUAAUUUUAACCCCACCAUAUGCAUCACAUGUGUCAUUCUCCUAGUUCGUAUUAAAUAAACAUGUCUCCUAGUUCGUCUUGAAUAAACUUGUCAUUAACAAAUGUCUCUCAUGUUUGAUUCAUAUAAAUGAUAGUGAUAACAUAUUGAAUUUUUGUGGCUAGUUCCAAUAUAGUGACGUACUUUUGUUAUAACAUUAUUAAUGCAUUAUAAAAGACCAUUAUAAUAUUACGUAACAAUAUAACAUUAAAAUUUGCGUAAACAUACCAACUGUUAAAUUCCAUCGAACUGUAGUUUCUUUAACAAAAAAUAAAAAAUCACCAAAAAAAAUGAAAAACCCAAUCAAAAAAAUCGCACGCAUCACAUUCAUUUACAAAAAUACCCUUAUAAAGCAACCAACCGACCUCAUUCGCUGUAGGGAGGAUCCGGGAUAUAGUAGUCAUUUGAUCUUGAUCGGAAGAGUUGUGGUCCCUAUGCUAUAUAUAUAUAGCCUAUCAAAGGGUAGGAGUUGUCACUGCGGGGACAGACUCAACAAACAAGGACUUCGAAAAACACCAUUUUAACUGGGAAACCGCUGGAUACGACGUCGUAGGUCGGCUUCUCUCAGCUGCAAUUCGUAAAAUCUCAAGCAGCAAUUGUCAUUGGACGUGCGAUCGAGGUCUCCUGCUUAUCCCCCAAUCGCCGAUCUCCUCAGGUUUGCCCCAAAUUUUGGUCCCUUCUGAUUCCGAUCUGUGUUCUUCAAUUAUGCUGUUUAUUUUUCUUUUUCUUUUUAGUAUGUAAUUUCGAUUUUUCGAAUUUUAAACGCAUAAUUUUUUGUUUGAUUUAAUUUGAAGGUUUGAAGUUUUGGCAGUUGAAAUUAGGGUUAGGUUCGUUGUUCGUGUAAUUUGACUAGUAGAGGGUGAAAUUGCAAUUGAAGUUGGCGAAUUUUUUGUUGGGAUUUUUGUUUAAAACCCUAAAUUGGAAAUGAAUCUUGAAAUUGAAUUAACAGACUUGUUUAUUUAACUGAUUCAGUAAUUUUUAAUGUGUUUGUCUUUCUGGGAAUUGUUCUAAUAUAAUACAUUGUUAGUUUAAUAUGUAGUGUUUGAUUAUUUUACAAGAAUCUAACUAUCUGUGUUACUUUCUUUUAUUUUAUCAGAGGACUGGUACUAAUUAUUUGGAACCAAAGGAGCUAAGUACUGAAUAGUGCUUUAGUUAUUACGUUUUCCGUGAGAUGGCGGAGAAAUCAUGUAUCAAGCGCCUCCAGAAAGAAUAUAGAGCACUCUGCAAGGUACAACUUCUUUUGUUCAUCUGAACUUGUUUUCAGCUUUCAUUUGUAUUCUGUUCAUUGCACUGAAUUUUAUCUUCUGUUCUCUUUCAUAUGUUCUUUGUGGUUUUAUCUAGCUUUUUUUUGACCGGGGUAUAAAUUUUGAUGUUUCACUGCAAUGUCAGUAUAUGGUUAGUUUCUGGAUCGUAUUAUGUUAAGGGUUUUGGCUUCUCUCCAUGUUUUGUUGCAUUAUUGAACAGAUUGAUUAAUGUUGUUUUUUUUGCUAAAUUUGAUAACUGUAACAAAUAUACGUGCAUUAGUUAAAGAAAUGAUGUCUCCUUUUUGCUAUCUUGGAACUUUAUUAUUUUACUCUGGGUGCUGUUAAAAGUUUUAUUUUCGGAUGUGUAGGAACCAGUUUCUCAUAUUGUGGCUCGUCCUCACCCAAACGAUAUUCUUGAAUGGCGUAAGUUUAUUUACGCAGUUUUCAUACUUUUGGGUAUUUUAUCUUUUUAUUGGUUAUGGCAAGUUCAUGAGUGACUACCGCCAUGAGAGGUUAAUGUACCACCAUACUCAUAGGCGUGUUGUAAUUUCCGGAAGUGCAGAAUGCUAAGUGAAACAUGGAAAGCCUGUUUGCUGUCUAAUUAACUCCUUUCCAUAAUCCUUUGCUUCUAUAGUAUUUCUACCUGCGUUGGUAGGGUAUCUAUAUGAUAGUGUAACUUGUUUCUUUUUAGUUCAGGAUUUUAAUGCUUAUUGCUUAUUUCUGAUGCUUCAGACUACGUUUUGGAGGGAAGUGAAGGAACACCUUUUGCAGGUUUGUCUUUAACUCCCCACUGCCAUUGUAUUUUGAUAUGUUGUUUUGGGUUCUUAGCAUAAAUAAUUUAUGAUAUCAAUGCUUGCGUAUUUUUUGAAUUUUCUCUACUCGUUAUAGGUGGAUAUUACUAUGGAAAGAUCAAGUUUCCUCCGAGUACCCAUUUAAACCGCCAGGAAUCAGGUAUCUACUUUUUGGAUGCCAAACUUCUCCAAAAAUGUUAUUUGUGAAUAUUUGUGACAUAUUUCGUCCUGCAGUUGUUUACUUUAUAAGUUUAUAUUGUUGAUUCUAAUUGCGUUUUACGCUUUCCUUGCUGUCUGCAGCAUGACUACCCCAAAUGGAAGAUUCAUGACUCAAAAGAAAAUUUGUUUAUCUAUGAGUGAUUGUAAGUUUUGUGUGGUUCUUUUAGAAGAGAAUAUUUUUUAUGUGUUUCUAGUAAUGGGACUUCAUGUGGUACAUUUGCAGUUCAUCCUGAAAGUUGGAAUCCAAUGUGGUCCGUGUCAAGGUUAGACACAUCUGGGUUUAUUAGAAGCUUGUUUUGUUAUGUUACAUGUUUUUGUACGCUUUCUCUUUGUUAGCAAUUCGCAAUUACAUAUAUAAUACUUGUGGUAAGUUGUAAUUUCACUAACAUCCAUUCUUCAAAUAUGCAGCAUACUCACAGGGCUUCUUUCAUUUAUGGUGAGUCCCUUAUGGCUCUUUGACAUGCUAAUUUAUUUUUCGCCUUCUUCUUCUUGUUCCUUUUCGUUUUUUUUUUUUUUUUAUGUGGGGUAACGGGAACUUUGUUUUUAAUGUGCCAUCAGAUUCUCCUAAUGAAUAAGUUGCUUAAUGAAAGUUGUACUAACUUAUUGAUGCUAUCCUAGUAGAAUCUUAACUUGUUUGGAAGUACAGGUAGCCGUAUCAUUAGUAAAAUGAAUGUGCUAAUUUAUGGCCUUCCUGCUGUAUUCAGUAGUUCAAGCAAAUCAUUUUAUGUUGAACAUGGUUUAUUUAAUUAUUUUAAAAUCCAAUUUUCUUAGAUUUAAUAGUUACUUUGGUUGGAAAUGUCACAUCAUUUUGUUAUUUUUAAAGCAUCUCUAAUCCUUCGAUAUAUCCUUUUUUCACGCAGAUGGACACCAGUCCUACUACUGGCAGUGUGAACACUACUGUUGCUGAGAAGAAACGUCUGGCAAAAGCUUCUCUUGCAUUUAACUCUAAGAAGUAAGUUCACUGGAUCAGCUACAGCUUGUUUUAUAUUCUCUAUUUUCAGAUUAUUUAAGCCACACUGAGGGCUAAAGUAAAAUAACGUUCGAAUAUAUUUGUGGUUGAGUGGCCCAUGCCUGUUUUAUAUCCAUCUGCAUUUGCAUUGGUUAAUGCCACUUGCCAAUUGUGUUGUUUGUACUUCUGUUCAAAAUUUGCUUGAAUUAGGUGAGUUGAGAAUACUAGGUGUCAAAUCAGUUGGCUCAGACAACUAGUGUUUGUGUACAAUGUAUAGAUCGUCCCAAGUAGACCUCAUCAGAUUUUUUUUUCAUAGUAAAGAACAUUGUUCAGAACCACCAAGGGUGUUGCUGAUCAUGGAACCCUUGUGUUUCAACCCGCUUGUAUCUGAUUCUCUUUCAAUCUUUAGUGUACUGUCUGACAAUUUUCCGUUGAAACAGUGUGACAUUCCAGAAAAUCUUUCCCGAGUAUGUGGAGAAGUAUAACCAGCAGCAGCUUACUCCAGAGCAGGUGUCGUCCGAUCCAUCUCAAGAAAACUCGAGGCCCUUGUUGAAAAAGGUUGAUGAUUCAACAGGAGGUAUGAAAAGAGUGGAUGCCUUAAAGGAGGCGGGGAAUAAGAAAAGGCAGUCAGUCCCAACGUGGAUGAUGGUUUUGCUCAUUUCGGUCUUUGGUGUUGUAAUGGCGCUGCCGCUACUUCAACUUUAACAUCUUACAUCCCGAGUAGAAAAUUUAUUGGGGUACGUGGACAUAAAAGCUGUUGCGAGUCGAGGGACUUGUUUAAAGUACUCGUUUUAGGGUUUUAUCUCUGUAUCUAAUAUAAUUUUGUAUAGGAGGUUGAUACUUAAGGUCAGUUGAAUGUGUUGGCUGAUGUUUUUCCUUCUAUGUCAAUGUUUGGUCCUUGUUUGCCUCCCAGUGUUCAAACAUGACAUGAUUGUGAUGUUAUUUCAACUUCAGUUCAGUGGAGUUUCGGUUCGGUCUUUUGGUUGCUACUCUCAUUCAUGCGCACUCACACAAGUUUGUAGCUCGGAUUUUGGUUUACCGAUAAGUAGAUUUGGAAAAUGAAUCGGAUUUGGAUUGGAUCAGCAUUAAAACGUAUUUGGAUCUAUUUGUUCUGGGUUUUGAGAACCAUAUUACUGUACUUGUGGGCCCCAUUUGCCAGCCAUGUAAGCACCUCAAACGGAAAAUUUUACGGUGUUAGAACAAAAGGACUGAUGCUUCAUAUUUAUUAAGUCUAAUGGAAUUUUAGAAAUAUGAAGUCUAAUGGAAUUUUAGUUCAGGAACCAAAGCUACAAUUGACUUAAAGUUAAGGGGUCAAAGCUACAAUUUACUCUUUUUUUUACGCAAUUAUUUAUUAUUGUUACACAACUAAUAUGUAUGUUGUAUUAAGUUGCAUCAAAUUAUUCUCGAAUUAGAUCAGCCUUAAUUCAUACUUUUUUUUCUUCAUGGAAUUGUGGUUGCGGAGAAUGCUACUCCUAUAUCUCACCUUCUUUUUGCGGAUGACUCAGUUUUGUUUUGCUGUGCAACAGAGGAGGCAAGUAAUGUUAAUGAGUUGCUACAAUGAUAUGCGUGUGGAUCAGGGCAAUCAAUUAACUUGGAGGAGCCCUAAAUGACCUCAACAUAUUAAAGAGAAGAUGAUGGCAAUGAUGAAUAUUAAGUAUCAACAGGGGUUUGGUAAGUAUUUAGGCCUAAAGGCAGACUUUGAUGCAUCGAAAAAGUUGGUGUUUCAAAAGGUUCGUAAUAGGGUGGAGGAUCAAUUUAAGGGUGGGUUGAGCAAUUUUUAUCCCAAGCGUGGAAACAAGUCCUUAUUAAAAGUGUGGCUUCGGCACUUGCAAACUAUGCAAUGUCCUACUUCAAGCUCCCAGUGAAUUUGGCUAAAGAAAUUGAGAGCAUGAUCGCAAGUUUUCUUUUAACCUUGCGAUGUUGGCAAAAAUUGGUUGGCAAAUUCUUGGUGAACCGGAGUCUCUUCUUGCCCAAAUUUUGAAAGCCAAAUAUUCUCCGAAUUCUUCGUUCAUGGAUGCUCCUAGGGUCGUUGAACAUCAUGGGGAUGGAAGGGCAUUUUGCAAUGGCGGAAAGUUCUAAGUCGUGUUGGGAAUGGAAGGAGUGUGAGAAUUAAACAAGACACGUGGCUGUCAACUCCAUGAACGUUUAAGCCCAUGCCGGAAAAGGUAGUGGAUUUAAUUGAUACUAAUACUGGUACGUGGAGAAGGAGUGUGGUUGAACGUUGCUUUGGCCAGGAUGAAGCUUCUCAGAUUUUGAGCAUGCCGUUAAGUGUAUUUGGGUCCGAACGGGGUAUAAGGUUGCAGAAGAACAAAGUAAAAAUGGGAACUUGGAAGAAAAGGUAUGGGGGAGACUAGUGGACAUGGCCAUUUAUUUUCUAGCCUUUUCUUUUCACUUUUCCAUGUUCUCGGUUUUAGCAACUGAACUAAAGUUUAGUAGUGUAAAACAAAAGAAUUAUGACACGGGAACUUUAACGAAAAACACCCGGUUCUGUUCACUUUAACGAAAAACCACAUUUUUACACUAAAAAGUCAAUCCUGAUACUAUUCACUUUACCCUUUAUUUUGUCCUUAUCAUUAAAACUCAAAGUUUUCAAGCCAUUUUUAUUAGUUUUCCUAUGACACAUGUAGCAAAGAACUUGUUAACUUUGAUUGCAUAAACGUUAAAAAAGCGUUCAGAGAUAUUGACUUAGCCACACAAUCAGUCAACUAUAAUAAUUUAAUGUUAAAUUCGUCAUUCACGAAAAUCGAACCUAAAAUAUUUCGCUUAAAAAUGAAAUGAAAUAUCACUAUAACUUAAUAUUAACUUAAUUCCCCCGUUUAAUGAAGGAUGUUACAAAUAAUCAAUUGAAAAGUACAAAAACCACCUCAUAAAAGGAGGAAGAAAAAUUUUGUAGGGGGCACUACAUCAAUGGCUUUGAAGCAUCAUUAAAAAUACGAUAAACUGUCAUUUGACCCGUUACACUCGGUCUCACUCUACUCUAUUUGCAAGAAUAAUAAAUAUAUAGUAAGUUGGAUACUAAGUUGAAAAAAGUCCCUUAUUUCUUAGUUGUUUAUGUUCUGUCUGUGGGCAAGCAGAACUGAAGCUCCUUGCUGCAAGAAUUUACCUUUUCCCUCCUAAAACUUUUGCCCAAAUAAAUCCUCAAACCCCACGAAACCUGCUCCGCGUUCGUCGGGCAUUGUGCAUGAAUCACGACUCAGUCCCCAUGACAAAAAGGUAUGGUUCAUUAUUUUUAAUUAUUUUUUAAUGUUUUAAUUAUAGGCAGUGUUACUCCUUUAAUUUAAACAAUUAAAACGAAAAAUGAGUGAGUUUGAAUUUAGGACAUUGUUUUAAAAAUAAAUAAAUAAAAAUAAAAUAAAAUAACUCAGGACACCAUUAGUUGUAGCGGAAGGCGAAGGACCCGGCUUCUUUGCCCUUCUAAGGGCUGGUUUGGUAUUGCUGUGCUUUGAAAAAAAGCUGCUGUGAGAAUAAGCGGCUGUGCUGUGAGAAUAAGCGGCUGUGAAAUAAAUCAGCAGAGUGUUUGGUAAACUUUUUUGUAAAAGUGCUUUUGGAAAAAAAAGCAAUCUGAUAGUGGGUCUUUUCAUUAAAGGAGCACUGUAGUUCUGUGUGCUUUGAAAAAAAGCCAGUUUUCCAAAGCUACAAAUUGCAGCUUCAGCUUUUUCCUUUGAUUUCAGCUUAUUCUCACAGCAGCUUCCAAAAUAAGCCAUUUUUUUUAAGUUUACCAAACACCAAAAACACUCACAGCUUUUUUUCAUAAGAGCUUUUUUUUAAAUCACCUCAACCCCAAACUGGGGCUAAUUCCCAUACACUACCAUUCCUUUCUAUUUUGUGCGGUCAUAGUUAUGUCAUUUCAACAUUUUAUAUUGAUUUUUUUUAUAGAGAUAAUAAGACAAAAAGUAAUAGUGAUAUAAAAUGUUGACGUGGCUUAACCGUGACCGCACAAAUAGGAGGAGAUGAGAGUGUAUGAGAACUCGGAGGGCAGAAAAGCCAGGUCUAAAGGCGAAAACCAAACUAGGACUAUAGUACCACUUGCGGGGUUGAGAGUUGAUUAAUUAUUUACACGAUAUGUUAUAGAGAAUAAAUUUUAGUAAACACAUUAAUCAAUGAUUAAUAAUAAUUUAAUCAUCAACAACAUCAUCAUUAAGUACAAAUUUAGUCUUAAUGGCAUCACUCUUAAUUGUACGAUGACAUGGGACCAUUAGGAGCAUUGUAAUGAAUCACAUGAUGGUGAUCAGAGGAGGUUAAAAUGACUCUGUAAAUUUUUCCGAUCCCUGAAAAAGUAGACUGUCGUGACAAAGCCACCAAUUGAUCAUUUUUUUUCAGAAAAAAAAAAAAAAAAGGUCAUUAAACAGUGGUUAACACUUCGACAAAAAAAAACAGUGGUUAACACUAAUUAGGGUUUGCCAGCUGAAACUUUGCCUUUAAAGUGAUUAUCCGUUUGAUACGUUUUGACUUAUCAAUUGAGCCGUUUUAAGCAUCUUUUGAUCAAUGCUUUCUGUGCUGCCUUCUCAAAUCUGAACACUGCCAUUUCAACCACCAUUUCAGAAGUUCAAAAUUUUCGGGGUUUUUUUUAAACCAGAAUAUAUUGAUGUGGGUUUUCCUGUAAAAGGGUGGUUGGAUUUUGCCUUUUUUGAUCAAUGCUUGUUAGUAGAAAUGGACCACUUCAAUGUAGUUUCAGAGCUUUCUGCUUGAUUGAUUGCUCUUCUUCAACUGUGAAAGGUAGCAAAAGAGUUGAGAAUUUCAUUUCAUUUUCUUGUCUUUAUAAAUCUUUUUUUUUUUCUAAGCAAAGCCAUAUUCGCGGAAGAGGAAUUCCAACCCAAGGCCUCGGCUGCAGGAGUAAACGUUUUCUAACUAUCUUUUUGUUUUUCAUUUUAUUUAGACAAGCAUGAAGAAAUCUCCUACGCAUCCAAAAUAUGAGAUGGAUCAUGAUCACAGCAAUGGAUUCGAUCCUCAUACCGACUUUUAUCAGGUUAGGUUAUUAACUGGUUAGCGUUGGAGCGUCGAGUCUCGUAAUAUUGAUAUUUUGGGCAUUCACCUUUUAAGGACAUGAAUGUAAAAACUACUGUUGUUUUAGCUAUUGUAGUGUACAGGGUUUGAUUUGAAAUCUGAAGUGUGUCACUUUCUUGCUGGAGAACAGUUUUGUAUUCAAUGUAAAAAUAUUCUAUUUACUAAUUUCAUCUGGAUUUAAUUAAUUCUUAAUUCAAUCAGUUUUUGGAAGAAGCCAAACACAAUGUAGUAGAAGGAGACUUCCAGGCACCAUCAGAAGAAGGUGCAGAGAGAAGAUUGGGACAAGAGAAGAAGAAGAAAUCAUGGAAAAAGUUUCUAUUUCCGUGGUUGAAAGGAGAGAAACUGAACAAAACUACUACAAAACCAGCAACCGUAUCUCAUAUUUCUAAUGCGAAGCGGACUAAUGUUUCCGGUCCGGUGUAUGGCACCGGCAAGGCUACGGAUGGUAAGCACCGGGGUCCAAUGUCGGGGCCUAUUGCCAGUCUCUUCAACCCCACAAAGAGAGAAGACAAUGCAAUGCCUUAUAUGUGCCUUGACAAGAAUGGCAGCCCUCAAGUUGGAAAAACUUAUGGGCCAGUUUAUUUGGUGACAAAUUUUCAUGAAGAAGUUGGGGAAUAGAAAAUUGAAAUUGUUAACCUUUCUACUCCACGAAGGAUUUCAACUUAUGGAUUCUGCAUUGGCUGUGAUGGAAACGCAGUUGGAUCAUCGAAUGGAAGAAAACCGGGAAUUCAAGCCGUCUUGGUUGCUUCGAAUCAUCCGAGGAUGGAAAAAGCUGCUGAGAGAUUGUUCUUUAGGUGUGAUGUUAUAGUGUUUCAUUUGUGAGAACGCUGUAAAAUAGGACUUAGAAUACUUGACAACCAAGUCGAUUUAACCAUCUAUAUAUGUAUUCCUUUUCUUAGCCUUUGUAAGUGAUCAAAGGAAGCAAUUAAGAAGUGACGUUUGAUGAUUUAUGCUCUCGCACCUUGUGCUUAUCUCUCGCCUCAUGUCAUGUGUCAGUGGAAGUCAAGGGAGAGAUAGGCACGAGGGGAUACACACCUGUUUGCACAUAAGUUUGUAUCACUCUCGAAAGCGUCUUUGAUGUUAUAUUUCAUUCAAUCUUCAACUGCAUCCUCAUUAUUUAUGUAUUCUUCAUGCUCAGCAGUUAAAAAGAGAAAUAUUUUUUGCAGGAAAGCCGAAUCAUAGUUUCCUUAAUAAAAAAAAGAAAAAAAAAGUUAACUUCGGGAGGGAAACUAUGUACUUGCCCAACAGAGCUUCAUGUACAAUAAUCUGCUUCUGCUAAUGGAGAUAAAGUGUCUGAGGUUAUUCAACUUUCCUUUAUGUGAUAGAGGAAUGGUAUGGCAAUUGAGGGCUUUUAAUACAUCUGAAAUGAUGCUUACUUCAUACGUGUGCACCUGUUAAUUUGUUAGACACGUAAAGAGCCUCGUCAUCCCACAAACAGGGGGGGAAUGGUUUGUCAUUGCGGCUCGGUUUUAUAUCUGCAACGUGAUGAGAGAAAUAGACACAAAGGAAUAUCACAUGAUUAGAGAGAGAGAAACAAAGAGAUACACGAGCGUUUACAAUGCCGAUUCUCUCUAGAACGCAAGAAAAUAUGCAACCGGUUACAAAAAAGAUUAUCUCCGAACACGUAUCCCUCUUGUACUUUACAAGAAGGAACCAUUUAGGAUGACUUGCAGGUACAACUUGCAUCACACAACCUAAGGUCCUAAACUAUACAUGGAUCACAAGCCAUUCUAGCAUUUGUUUGGUCUCAGAAACUGAUAGCAUAAUUACAACACAAAAUGUUGUUUAAUGAUUAAAGAAGCCUUAGAAGUGGUUAGAAAAGGCAGUUGAAACACAUAACAAGAGGGAUGAUAUUGGAUGCUCACUAAUCUGGAAAAUUUUAUGGAAUUAAAAGAGAAACUUCCUCUCAGGAAUAAGACACUCUUUUACACGUCCGGAACACCAAGGGAGUUAAAACACAUGACAUUGUUAUUAGUGGUUCAAAACGCCACCUUGUCAACCCCGGGUGUAGGUGAGUCCUUUCCCUCAGGAAUAACCAAACACUAGAAAGUUAAGAACUUCAAUUGCUAUUUCAUUUCCUUUCUUCUUCAUAGAAUCAUAGGUUAAAAAAAAACAAAGUGUUCAAGGCAUAAUUAAGAAAAUUGAGCCUACAUUAUUCUGUUUUUAAAGUAACUAAGCGAUACAUAUAUUUUACAACUUUUUUGAGAUCUCAAGAUCCAUCUCUUCUAGAAUAAAAGAACAAUUACCAAAUAAAAUCCCCUUAGAAAUUCCUUAUGUCUUCAUCUCCAUAAGAACCCUAAACCAAAAAUUCUCAGGGAUGCAAAAGAUUGCACAUCUAAGACUGUCCUUUCAAAUUAUGUACAAACAUUAAAUCUAGCUUCUUUUCUAACUCGGCCCUCCUCCUCUCCCUCCUCCUUGUUCAACAUCCACAGAACAAGGACUGCAGGGACUAAUCCUCCUAUCCCUGCUCAACAGCCUCUUUAGUGAUCUCAACCGCGUCGGUACCGGUGACUUCAAGUCCUCCUCUCCGGCGAACCUGUUACUUGAAGGCGAAGGCGAAGGCGAAGGCGAAGGCGAAGGCGAAGCAGAUGGUGUCUCGCUUGGUAUAUCAAUGACCAACAUCCCAUCCGGCCUAUUACUUGCAGAUGACAAAGAUGAUGGAGAUGGGCUGGGUGGUGAUGAAGGCCCUUCUUCCUCCAAACCCGCACCCGGCCCGGAGCUCACCCGGCUCUGGUUCCCCCAGAACAACACAUUUGUUGGGAAAAUCGGAGCCUCAAUCGAAAACCCAGAUGCCAAAUUCGCAGUUGGUGAAUGAAUUUCAACACCACCAGCACUCUCUUCCAAUGCAGAAGAACUAGAACCGACAGAGCUUUGAGGAGCAACAGGGUUUCUACAGAGUGGACACGUGGAGUGAGACUGAAACCACAUGUCGAUACAAUCGACAUGGAAUCCAUGGCUGCAUUUCGGGAGCAGCCUUGCUUUCUCGCCGUGGACGAGCUCGGAGAGACAAACCGCGCAUUCGAGACCGUCUUUGAAGUCAUCGGAAGGAAACACUACUAAUGGUAAGGACCUGAGGACUAAAGGGUCGAGCCCUUUCCGCACUGCGGCAACUGGGUCCUGCCCGGGAGCGAAAACGAAGCGGCGGCGACGGCGUCGGGACUGGCCGCGAACUGACGAGGUGAGGUCGUCAUCUGCCGGCCACAAGUACCAUUUGGCGUAGAGGUGGAGGCAGAGGACGAAGACGACUACCAGAAAGAGAACCAACACGGCGAUCAUCAUGAUUUUUCCGGCGAGCUCUACGGCGUUCGAGUCGUCGAGUGUUCGACUCAAAGUGGAGUCUCCCAUUGUUGCUGUUUGAACCUAAAGGUGAGAGCUUUACUUGAAAAUUUGAAAAAACGGAAGAAGGGUACUGAGAUUCUAAAGAAAUGAGGAGAACCCAGAUGAGAAAUAUUUGUGUUUUGCUUGCAAUUCAAUUUUCAAUGAAUCUGGGGCUUAAAUAUAUGAGGAGAGAGAGAGAGAGAGAGAGAGAGAGAAAGUUGAAGAGGCAAAAUGGGAUAGGAAGUUGGACUUGUUCUAUAUGGGAGAACUAGGAAGGAAGAAGUAUCUUUGUUCUGAAACUCGCGAAAGCGACGUAGGUGGAGAGAGAGAGAGAGAGAGAGAGAGAGAGAGAGAGAGAGAGAGUUGUAUUUGUAAUUUACACCUCCACUUUCAGGUUUCAGGAUGACUCAGAAGACUUGACUAUUUUGUGGGGAAGACUGGACGGUGAGAAAAUAUGGAAGACGACUGCAACCCAUUCAUUGGGUCCAAAUACGAGAACUGGCGGUGGGAAGAGAUCAUUUUCCUGAAAUCGUUACCGUGCAUCCUAUAAUCAGAAAUUAUUAUAAAAUUUAAAAUUUAAAAUUAAAUAUAAAUAAUAUUUACCGAAAACUAAUCGCAUGAUAUACGAUGAAUGAUCACAAUUAAGAAAUUUCUAAAAUUCCCAAAAAAAAAAUCCAACGAGAAUCCUUUUCCAAAAGAAAGGACCAACUUCGAACCCCACCUCUCAACUCAAUGUCCAUUUCUCAGUGCUUUCCACCUCUAUAACGCCAUUUCUGGCACUUUCUCACUUUGAGACUUCAUUGUUGGAGAAGGAUUUUUACCCAGACAAGGAUUGUCUACCAACCCAUUUCCGAUGCUUUCAUGUGCCCUCUUGUUUUGUGUGAUCACAGUUAAGGCAUGACAAUAUUUUAUAUUAUUUUUUUUAUAGAGAUAAUAAAACAAAAAUGAAUAGUAAUAUAAAAUGUUGACGUGACUUAACCGUGAUCACAUAAACAGAAAGGCACACGAGAACACCAGAAGUGGGAGGGCAAACAAUCUUUGUCCUUUUUACCUGUCCCAUUACCAUUUUCUUCCAUUUAUUUCUCUUACAUUCUUCUUUUUUAUCUUUUUGUCUAUAUAAAAAAUUCAAAACAAGAUGUAGACGUAGCAUAAUCGUAACUAUUUAAAUAUGAGAAGAUGAAAGGGGAGAGAGAUUAGAAAAUGAGAUAAUCCUACUCCCAUUGUUUCACUUUCAAGUUAAAAUAAACCCUUGUAGGCUUGUACUGACAAAGAACUUUCAUGCGACGAGGAUAUUGUCACAAUAUGUAAAUUUCUUCUUUAAUCACUAUUAGGAAACUUGGUUGUGACAUCACAUCCCUCAUGUUUUUUAGCAGUAAUAAAUUAAAAUGGUUUCAGAUUUGCAGCUGAGGACUUAUUUUUCAUUCACGACAAGUAUUAACUUUUCAUGGCAUACCAAGGUCAUGUCCAACCGAAGGGUCCAGAUGGCUAAAAAUAGUUUGAAAACCGUCUCCAACUAAGGGUCAAGCCAAAGGGCUCGGGCCCACUGGACAAAAAAGGGCAAAAGGGCCAACCAGCUGGCCUAUAGGAACCAGCCAACUAGCCCGGGCCGGGCCAUAAAAUUUAAACACAACGGCUAGCUAACGUCAGUUACUGCUGGAUUUGAAUUUUUUUUUUUGGGAAAAAUUUAAAACAUUCUCAUAUUUUUUCUAUAAAUAUCUAAGCCAUUCCUACACAAUUUCUUACAUAAUUUUUGUGGAUGCAAAUUUCUUCCUCCUUGUUCUUAGAUAAAAUUGCACCUACAAAACAAAUAACACCUUAAGUCAAGGCCAAGAGCCUCACGCGCCCACGAUGAAGGGGGCUUUGGCCAAAGAAACUCUGAUGCCAAAGUUAGAAUUUUGAGAGAAAAGUGUUUGGAGAAUUUUGAGAAUUUAGCAAGAGAAUUGGAAUUGAGUUUUGGAGAGAAUGAUGAGGUUUUUAUAGGGGUGUGGCCGGGCCCCUUGGGAAAGGGAGAACCGGCCACUUGGAUGAAUUUGUGGGCUAGGUUCAUGAUUUGUGUUUAAUUAGCUAAUUAAUUAAAUAAUUAACCAAUUAAUUUAGCUAAUUAAUAUAAUAAAUAUGGAAUGAUUUAAGGGUUACCUUGUGGAGAAGAUUUGAUGAGGAUGGAUGAAAUAAGUUUAAAAAUAAAUACCUAUUUGGGAACUUUUGACUUAAUUAAGGGAGGAUUGUCCACUGCUCACGUGUAGGAAUUCAGUUGUGCCUCGAGGGUAAUUUUGUCAUUUUUACCCAAAAAUCCACGUGUCGCCUCUUGAUUAUUUUUUGCUCCACAAAUGCCCCCACACCUGCUGGGCUGUUCGUAGGAAAGGGCAGCAGGUGUAGAGAUCUUCAUCUUUGAUGUAGAUUCUCACUUGGACUUGGAAUUAGAUUCUUCUGGGCAUGGACCAAUGAGAAGGUGUGGUAGGGGCCACGAUUUGGGCUACUUGAUUUCUCAGCUGCCGUAGAUAGAGCAGUCAAGGAUGGAGUUGCCAAGAUUGAAGCUACUAAAGAUGAAAUGUCGAAUAAGCGAGCUGUUGAGUGCAAAGUGGUUGCUGCCCCCUGACCAUUUGAUGCCUAGUUGGUCUUCAAGCAUUUGAUCUUUUGAGCUAUAUGACAUUCUCGCACUAGAGAGCUUACCCAGAUAGGUUUAGGGAAUUAGUUUACCCUAUCACAUUAGAGAUCAAUUAGUUUACCUUCUCGCACUGGAGAACAAUUAAUUUACCUUCUCGCACUGGAGAGCAAUAAGUUUACCCUUUUGCACUGGAAAGCAAUUAGUCUGCUGUGCGAGGGCGCUCGUCAACUCUAUAACUUGUCAAGACAAGUGUUAUUCUCUAUUUGGGUUGGAAGAGCUUGGAAGAAAUGUGUCUCCUUGAGCAGCGGAAAUGUGGUAGACUAUGGGCGCGAGAUUUAAGUUAGGAAAUGUCAAAUUCGUUGAGAAAUGUGGUGAAAAUGCCCAGGGUUCAAUCGUACGUCCAUAAAUUUGAAGUCGGGAUGGUUAAACUAAUCUUAGAUUGAUUUAGGCUGCUUGGAAGGCCACGGGAGUAGGCUGGGCCACGGUAGUGGGCUGCUCGGCGUGUGGCAUACGUGAGUGCAAGGCUAGGGCUCACGCUGGGCCUGGCUUGGUUGCCUUACAGCGUGGGCUGCAGAUUAAGAUGUGGGCUAAGUGGAUGAGGCUUGGGCAUGCGCUGCUAGGGCAUCGGCUUAGGCUACUUCUAGCACUUGGGCUUGUUGCUGCGAAGUGGCGUGGGCCUGAGCUGGUGGCUGCCUCGCUGCCCCCUGCUCACCGUGGGCUCACUACCAUGGAGCUGGCCCAUUCCCCACUGCCACUACAGUCUCUGUGGUUGCCAUAGUGGUGGUGCUCCUUAGUGGCAAAGUUACUCCUCUUGCCAUUGUGUUGAGCCUUGUGGAUCGUCGUGGUGGGGCUACGUCUCGUCCUCCAUCAUUCGAUCCGGAUCUUUGAACAUAGGAAGUUUCGUUCGUCGAGGUUUUCAAAUCCCUUGCCAUUGUACUUUUCUUUUACGUUUUACCAAAGAAUUUUUAGAAAUAAAAAUUCUAAGAAUAAGAAUGUACGAAAAAUCUACAAAUGAACAAGAAAACGAAAAACCUUAGAUGCGAGAGUCUUCUACGAGUGUGUGACUCAACUCUCAAUGAAAGCACCAAUUUGUGGAUGCAAAUUUCUUCCUCCUUGUUCUUGGACAAAAUUGCACCUACAAAACAAAUAACACCUUAGGUAAAGGCCAAGAGCCUCACGUGCCCACGAUGAAAGGGGGCUUUGGCCAAAAAAACCCCGAUGCCAAAGUUAGAAUUUAGAGAGAAAAGUGUUUGGAGAAUUUUGAGAAUUUAGCAAGAGAAUUGGAAUUGAGUUUUGGAGAGAAUGAUGAGGUUUUUAUAAGGGUGUGGCCAGCCCCUUUGGGAGAGGGAGAACCGGCUACUUUGAUGGAUUUGUGGGCUAGGUUCAUGAUUUGUGUUUAAUUAGCUAAUUAAUUGAAUAAUUAACCAAUUAAUUUAGUUAAUUAAUAUAAUAAAUAGGGAAUGAUUUAGGGGUUACCAUGUGGAGAAGAUUUGAUGAGGAUGAAUGAAAUAGGUUUAAAAAUAAAUACCUAUUUGGGCACUUUUGACUUGAUUGAGGGAUGAUUGUCUACUGCUCGCAUGUAGGAAUUCCACUGAUCACAAAAAACUGUCUCCAACCAAGAGCCAAAGGGCCAUAGAGCCAAACAUAAUUUAUUAUUUAAAAAUUACAACAACUUAAAUUUAAAAACUACAAAUUAAAUUCAUAAAAAAAAAAAUUUGGCCCAAAAUAUUUUUUUGAAUCCAACGAUAACUAGUUGUUGUAUUUGAAAUUUUGGCCUACCAUUCUUGUCGGAUAUAACCGACAGAAAUAAGUAUAAUGAUGUCGGAUAUAACCGACAAAAACAAUGAAAAUUCUGGCUCAGCCCAGGGUUGGCUGGCUGAGUUGGGCCAGCCUGUUGGCCAUUUAGCUCUUUUUGGUCCAGUGGGGCCCACGAGCCCUUUGGCCUAGCCCUUAGUUGUUGACGGUUUUCGGGCUAUUUUCGGCCUUUUGGCCCUCUGGACCCUUCAGUUGGAGAUGACCUAAGAAAUAUGGCCAUGGACUGUUCAUUAAAAUAUUACUUUCUUAGAGGACCAGAGGGCUAAAACGAGCCUUUGGCCCUCCAAGAAAUUAAUAUUUUAAUGAACAGUACACGGCUAUAUUUGCUUCAAUCUCCAACCGAGGGCCAUAUGGCUCGUUUUAGCCAUGUCACAAAAAACCGUCUCUAACAGAGGGUCAAAGGGCUAUAGGGCCAAACGUAAUUUAUUAUUUAAAUUUAAUGUUAUUUAAUGUUGUUUCAUGUUACUUAAUUUAAUUUAAUGUUGUAUAAUGGCUUAGGAAGUUAUAAAAAAAAUAUAAUUUUAACAUAACAAUUUUAAAAAAAUUUGUAAAAAAAUAAUAAAAAAUAAUGGCUAGCUGACGUCAGCUAGCCGUUGUAAUUGAAUUUUGGCCUAGCAUUCCUGUCAAAUAUAACCGACAGGAAUAAUUAACAAUACUGUCAGUUAUAUCCGACAGGAAUACUCAGCCCUCUAGCCCAGCCUGGGGCUGACUAGCUAGCUGGAUUGGACCAGCCCUUUUACCCUUUGGCCCUUUCAAAUUUCGUGAGGCCCACUAGCCCUCUGGCCUAACCCUCGGUUGGAGACGGUUUUCGGGCUAUUUUCGGCCCUCUGGCCCUCUGGACUCUUCGGUUGAAGAUGACCUAAGAUGACCACAAUGACAUUGAAGUUCUAAGUUUUUAACUCAUGACUAAUUAGCACUAGUAAUUAACUUGACCGCUUAAGCUUAGGUUUGUAGAUUUGAAUUUGAUGAUGAACAUUUGAGAAGCAAAAUAGGUCUGGUCAAUGCUGCAAUAGUGGCUAAGUUGGUGGUUAGUGUAAAUUUUACGUCCAAAGCUGUGCUUUUUCAACCACUUUGGUGGAUUAUGUUUGUCUGUUCAACACCUUCUUUUUGGAAUGAAGAACUUGGUUUGACAUUAUUGAGUAGCAAGAGAGAAGAAAUUACAAUACGAAAGGACUUCAGGGUGUCAUAUCCAAACAUCUUAUAGAUCGUCAAAUAAAAAAAAAUUAACUUACAUAACAUUACGUAAAUUGGUUCGAAACAAUAUUAUAACGCGCCUACAGUGGUGUGUAUAAUACAUCACAUCAGCAGCGCAUCUUUACUUCAAAUGUCAAUACAUGCCUAUUUUUCGAAUUGUUAGAUUAUUGGGAAAAAUACUGGUGUGGGGUCUGCCCCAGCAUUAUCACAUGAAUAAAGAUUUAUUCAUAUGUUCUGUUUUUAAGCAAUGUUUAAAGUCUUAACGCAAAUCUCAAAGCAACUAAUUGCACCUAAACCCUAAUCUCUAAUCCGGAAAGUUAGCUGAUUACCAGCUGCUUUUGAUGUCGGAGUCAAAUGUUUUUCAACUUUUUGUUCCCUUUAUUUUCUCUUUCGUCCUUAAUAAAGUUUUUGUAUAAGAUGAAUGGUGAACGACGAUCUCUUUUAACACUAGAAAAAGAAAUAUCGUUAAAUAUAAAAAACUAAUUAGUCAUCCUAAAUGGUGUUUAGGCACGAGGUAAAAGAGCAAACUCGCAUCAUUCUUGGGUAAGUUGCAGGAUGCAGUUGAGCUGUCAUGGCUGUGGCAUACUAUGUGCUUAAUUUGUUUAUAAAAGUUUGUCAAUAAAUCUCGUACUCGUGCAUGUAACAAAGUGAUGUGAGCUGCACAGGUGGAAUCCCUGCAUUGAUCUGAACCGUUUUUUUUUUUUUCAGUACUCCUUCGUUUUCCUAUAUAAAAUUCCUUUCAUUAGUUCUAACAGAUUCUUUUUUACUAGAUGCGGUGUGAAUCAUAUGGCUGAGCGGCUUUGAUUCUCGGUGGUAGUAUGAUUUAGGAUUUUGGUUGUUUUCAGCUAUGUGAGCUCGGAUACGAGUUAUGCAAGAUUUUAGUAUGCGAUACGAUACACACAUACGUAUUUGCCCCUCUCAUGCACACAUUCUUGUUCAACUUUAUCGCUUAUUUCCGUCUAAUUUAUUUAAUCCGAUUGCUAGAAAUAAGAGAGAUAUUACAUGACUAAGGCCCCGUUUGGGAUUGAGGUGAUUUUAAAAAAAGCCACUGUGAAAAAAAGCUGAGGGUCCUUUUUGUGUUUGGUAAACUGAAAAAAAAAUGGCUUAUUUUGGAAGCUGCUGUGAGAAUAAGCUGAAAAUCAAAGGAAAAGCUGAAGCUGCUAUUUGCUGCUUUGAAAAAAAGCCAGUUUUUUCAAAGCACACGGAGCUACAGUGCUCCUUUAAUGAAAAGACACACUAUCAUCCUGCUUUUUUUUCCAAAAGCACUUUCACAAAAAAGUUUACCAAACACUCUACUGGCUUUAUUUCACAGCCGCUUAUUCUCACAGCAUAGCCGCUUAUUCUCACAGCAGCUUUUUUUCAAAGCACAGCAAUACCAAACCAGCCCUAAAUAGGGUGUGUGAAAUCAGCUACUUUUAGUAUUAUGGGUUGUUGUUUUUACAGUUAUGUUGAAAUUUGUAGUUUUUAACCACUUGAGAAGCUGAGCUAUAAUCUUAGUAACAAAAACUCAACAAUCUAGCUCCUGCAAUUGAUCCACUUAAGAUAAAAUCGAUAGAUAGCGUGCCAAAAGGAAUGUAGGGCAGCCAUAUUUUUAGGCUUUUAAUCUGAAUUUAGAAUAUAAUUAAUAGUGAUGAUCACUAGAGCAAGAAAUAAAUGGAAUCGAUGGACAUAAUAAUUGAAAUGAAAUGAUUUUUGUUAGUAACUAAUGAUAGCCAUUCAUGUCAUUCAUUGGUGAAAGCAGAAACACACAGAGAGAAAUGAGUAUUACACUCAUAACUUUGUCUGUUCACAAAGUAUAUGUAUCUAAAAUUGCUCAAAAAAAAAGUGUAUGUAUCUAAAAAGAUUCCUGAGGAAUAGAUAUGCCUACAAAAGUUGCUGCUGCUGCUGGUUCUACUAUCACUGUCAUAGGGAGAGAGGCCAAUGCAGUUUGACACCGGGCCGCAAGGCUUUAUUUUAUAGCUUGAGGGGCCAUAGCUUUAAGGCUUUAGUCAUACAUAUAUUACUGAAAAAGUUAAAAAAUUGAAGGAUUUGAUAACUGUUUCGUUAUUAAUUUUUUUUGUUAGAUACGAAAGAAAAAUAUAUGGGAGAAAUGAGAGGUAAAGUGAGGAAGGGUGGAGGAAUGACAUAUAAUACAAAGGAAUUGAGGUUUCAAAAUAAAAUCAAUUGACAAUAUGAGAGUAGCUCAACUUACUUAUAAACUCAUACAAGAUCUCUCUUUCAAUUAAUGUGAGCUUCAUUCUCAAUAUAAUUAGAGAAACGUCCAAAAAUGUAUAUACAAAAUGAUUCUUAAAAUGAAAACUAAAACUCUACUACAACGAAUGAAAAUUGAAACAAAAGACAAAAUGACUAUGAAACGGAGCCAACAAAACUUUUACCGUGUAAUCUACAUAUUUUUCCUCUUUGUUCCUAAAGUUAUAUAUAUUUUCUGGACAAAGUUCCUAAAUUUACACACACACACACACACACACAUAUAUAUAUAUAUAUAUAUAUGGAUCUCAUUGUUCCCCCAUGCAACAGCCAGAUCUCAUUUUUGACUGAGAUGACAUGUUAGAGAAGAAGUUGUAAAUAAAUUUAACAGUGGAGUGGGUGAAUUGGAGUGUACUAAUUCAGUAAUGUCUUAGGAAACUUAACUUUUUCAUCAGCAAGAAAUGUGAAAAAAUAAAUUUACCCCUACGUACGUGAGUAUAAUAUCUGCAUAAUCUCAGAAACCAAAAGAUCUUCCAUUUAUUCACGAAUAGUUUGAAAGCUAGAAGCAACCAUGCACGCGAUGAUUACACUUGGUUAAUGAAUUUAAUCAUUAGCGUAGUCAAAAAUUUGCAUUCAAGGGUCACGAAUAAGAAGCUUCCGAAAAUUAAAUAUACUUUUAUUUAUAAUUGUUAACUACAUAUUCUUAUAUUUUAGAACGAUGUAUCACAAUAUCAUUAUUAAUAAAAUCAAAUACAUUUUUCAUUGUAUAUAACCAAGCUAUCAUUAAACCAUUCACUUCCAUUCAUUUUUCAUAUAAUGUAAUUUUUUACAAUAUUGAUCACUUAAAAAGCUCUCUCAGUUUAGGAAAAGUUGUAAUUUUGGUAUGUUUUAAUUAAAAAAAAAAGUUAAUAAAUGGUCUCUCUGAUUUGUUUGUGUUAGAUAUAAUAUGGGUCAUAUAAAAAUUUAAAGAAGAGAUAUUUGAAGUUAUUGGGGUUAGUGGCAGCCAAUGUCUCCAUGUUGGCUUCGUCAUUAAAUUUAAUUCACAUUUUUUCCUUGUUAUUCGUACGCAAGUGCGUAAAAAAAUAAAAAAGAAUUGAUUUAGAGUUCAUAUGGUUAAAAAUCUCUUCAUUAUCUUUGAUUGUUUUUUUUUCUUUAACAAAUGAUUUUAUCUACACUCAAGGAUGGGGAUGAAUUUAACCUUAUAAUGAGCUAGUAAUAAUAUAGUUCAAAUUCGUCUUUGGCGAGAAUCGAACCUAAAACUUCUCACUUACAAAUAAAGAGGAAUAUUACUAGACCGUAAUACUAAAUGAUUUAGGGUCGUUAAGCUCUUCUUAUCGUGAUGGGUUUUUUUUUUUUUUUUUUUUUUUAAAUAACCAAAUCCUUAUCGUGAUGGUUGAGGGAGGAAGUUUUGGAAUAGCGUUUGUGCUCAGGAAUGUUGAAGUUGACCGGGAAGCAUGCAUAUUAAGAGACAAGGAGAGGAAACUCGUGAAGAUUCCAGAAGGAUAGGCUGCUGCUUUGGAAACUCGUGAAGGUGGCCAACCCAAACCCAAAGCCUUGACGAAACUUGUAUUCUACCUCAUGACGUUCAAAUAUGGGAUUUGGAUCCCAUCUAGAUUUAAAUUACAAGGAUUCUGAGAAGGGGUGUGAUAUCCACACACCUUUUUUUACUUCUUUCACAUUUUUUUAAUUUUCGGCCGUCGGAUCGGAUGAAUUAAAGAAUAUCAAGGGACAGAAAUUAACAAGGGGUGUGGAAGAAGUAAAAAGGGAUGUGUGGAUAGCACACCCCUUCUGAGAAAUCUCACACCUUAACCGUUUAUUUUACAUUGUACGGUUAUAAAUUAUUUUGAAUAUUUUUAUUUAAAAUUAAACAUAAAUAGUAUCUAAUAAAAACUGAUCACACGAUAUACAAUGAACAAUUAAGAUGUAAAAAUCUCUAGAAUUUCCACAAAAGGAUUCUCAUCCCAAAUAUGAGACUUGUUAAUUGGUUUAAAAAUUCAUGUGAUGGGAUGGGAUGUGAUGCUUUACUUUCUUCAAACUAGGACAAAUUCAAGUUGCAAAGGAUCUUUGAUGGGAGUUGGACCAGUCAAGGUCAAAUAGCAUACCUACAAGUAGAUCAAUGUAUCUCUAAACCUUCUCUUCAUCUAAACACACAAAUUUGACUACAAUGCUUGAUUUUGCAUUGCAUUUUAUUAGGUCUUUGUUCUAAGUUUGUUUUGACCCCACUUAUCUGCGGAAGAGUUAUUCUGUCCAGAAAUCGAACUAGUGUCAAAGAGUUCAUUGAAAAACAGGAGAAUGUAGAAAUGUUUUUUUUUUUGCGUCUGAACCGUAUGAUUGAUGUGGUCCACAAAUCAUAUGUAAACGUUUCUUAUAUCUAUACAUUAUGUGACAUGCUGUUAAUAAUUUAUUAAGACGCAGUAAUAGACUAAUAAUUUUUCUUCUCGCAUGCAAAAAGAUCGCACGUCAAUUUGCCUAGUUGGCCUUGGCUCGGCCUCUUUGAAAGACUAUUGGAUUUCUUCACACAUGGCAGCCGUAUCCAAAAGGGAACAUCAAAAGAAGAUUGGGCAACUUUGUGUUUAGGUGCAACAAUAAAAAGGGUAGGUGCAACUGUAAACAUUGGCUUUAGUGUUGAUCUGUCAUUUAAACAUGUGUUCACUGAUUUAAAUAGUAUAUUCUAAAAUAAAUGCGUCGUUCAUGUAUUAUAAAUUUGAAUGAAUUUAAAACACAAAUAUUAACAUAUCACGUGGUGUUACAGUUACAUAUAUUAAUAUUCUCAAUGAUUCAAUUAUUACAAGUACAAAUUAUACAAUGGGAAGAACCUAAUUCCGUGCUAACCAAAUAUGAGAUACUAUUCUAGCAAUUCAUUCUAUGAUGAAUGUGUCGUUCAUCAUCAUGUAUCUAAACUACAUAUUAAUAGAACCCUCUUGUCAGCUAAAAUCUCAUAAAAUUACCAUUCUAACCCUCUUAUCAAACUGUACAUAAAUAAAAAACAUAGGCAUUAAUGUAAUUCACACAACCAAAAUUUUACUUUUUUUAAGCCUCACCUACAUGUGAUUCUAAUAUAUCUCUAAUUAAAAAUAAAAACAUAAAAACAAUAAACUUCUCUCCCCUCUCUCCCAACCCCCAUGUUCUCUCUCACUCUCUUCCUCUCUCCUUCCAUUUUAAGAACAAAAAUAAAAAAUGUUCACACACACACACCUUGUGUGGGCAUAAGCUAGUAUUUAGAAUUAGAAGGCUAAAUUGUCACUCAGUACUACGGUCUGGUGAUAUUCCUCGUCACUUGUAAGUUGUAAGUAAAAGGUCUUAGGUUCAAAUCUCAUAGGUGGCGAAUUCGAUACUCUAUUAUGUUAUCUAUUGUGUGGCUUAGUCGAACUUACCCUCCCGUUGUACUAACAAAAAAAAUUAGAAGACUAAAUUGGAAAUUGGGUACCUUUUGUUUUGGGUGCCCAUAACAUGUCAAUGAACAUAAAAGGCCACUUUUGCAUACCAAUGGGCUCAAAUUGCAAGCCCGCAUAAAAAUAUCAGAACAGAAGCAGCCCAGCGCCGACGCAGUGUGUGAACAUAAAGGCCACUGGAGUGAAAUCUCACCAAAAUAUCAAUCAUCAAAUGGGCUGCAUUCAUUUUUGAACUCAUUCGUUAUCCGUUCUCUGCUGCCACCGUUAUCAGACAGUGUAUGCGUCUGUGGCUCUCGCAGAGUCGCAGUGGCAAAGACCCUCUGCUUUCUUCCUUCCCCGCCACCCAAAUCUCAAUCCACCCUCCUCACUUUUCUGCUUCUGCUUUUCGGCUUUUGCUUUCUGCUCUUCUGGCUCGGUAAGUUCGUGUUGAAAUGCUGGCUGUGCCCAACAGUUGCUGCUGAGUCUGGAAUUGGCUGAAUGAGCUCCCAUGCCUUCACUUGGUACUCUAAUCCAGUCUCUUCCUGCAUUUAUCUUGUGCUUUUGAAUGUGUUUGGUUACAGUUUUAGAAACCCUUUGUGUCGAAUUCAGUGAACUGUUUGUAGCUUUUUCAGUUUGUGGUUAAUUUACUGAUUCAUGGUACUUAGAGCUUUUCCAUGGCACCUGCUGGCUGCUGCACUUAAAUUUAAUGAUAUUAUUGUUAUGAAUUUCGCAGUAAAGGGUAUUUAAGGAAUUUGAAUUAUGUGGCUGGUGACAUUUUGUGUGUGUGUUGGUGUUCAAUUGUCAAAGGACUGAUUUUUAUGUAAAUACUCUUAUUGAUAUUUGUGGAUGUUAGUUUGAUGGAUUUCUAACUCUUUGGCCCUCCUUUGGUGUCAAUGAUUGUAUUGGAUUGGGUAAGUCACUUGUUUCAAUGUAUGUUGAACGAAGAAAUGGAUGACAACUUCCAAAUUUUCUCCAAGUUGAAGGUAGAAGAUAGUUUCUAUUUUGUCGGAAAUGGGAGAAGAUUGAUUAGUAAUGAAGGAAACUAAUCCCUCUUAAUCCCCCACAUGAAUGGUCGGAUUGGUAGGGAUAAGUUUCUUUCAUAACUAGUCUAUCUUCUACCUUCAACUUGGACAAAAUCCGAAGGCUAUCAUCCUUUUCUUCCUUCAACAUAUAUUGAAUCCAGUGAGAUUUCCAAUCCAGUCCUAAAUACCAAAUGAGGCCUUUGUUAAAGAAUUUAGAUUGUUUGGCUACUGGCUAGAAACAUUUUAUGCGUGUCCUAAAAAAUGUUAAAUUGUUAAAGGACUGAUGUUUAUGCAAAUGCUACUUGCUGAUAUUGUUGUGGCCUUGAGGGUAUCUCUUAUAAUGCCUGUCCUUGUUAGCAGAGAUUGCUGCUGCACAGCCUGCCUUCCAAAUUCAUCUCGGUACACUCAGGUCUCAAACCCCUCUUCAUGGUAAAGUAAUUUCAAGUCCAUUCGCCUUCGGAAAUGACAAGAAACUGUCCUCUGCUUGGAAAUUCUCUGGUAUAUCUAUAAAAUUGAACUUCAAUUUGGGGCACAUUAACAUCCCAAGGGGUAGUCUCCGGAUUAAGGCAGUCGCUACUCUUGAAUCCAAAAAUUUGGUUCAGAAUGAGAAUGCACACAUGGGUUUCGACGGGUCACAGCUGGCCAUGGAUUCGAGCACCUGGACAGUUCAGCCUGAGCCUUCAAGUGAAGAUUCCGAAGAAUUGGAUGAAAGGGAGAAGUUAAGGCGAUUGAGGAUUUCUAAUGCUAAUAAAGGGAACACGCCAUGGAACAAAGGCAGAAAGCACAGUCCUGGUAGUGAUAUGAUUAUCCAAUCUGCCUUUUGCGUUACCUAUCUGCAUCCAUUUUGCUUAUCAUGCGCUAAUUAUUAGUAUAAUAUUGCAGAAACCCUUCAGCUGAUCAGAGAGAGGACAAGGCUUGCAAUGCAGAAUCCUAAGGUGAUGUCAUGUAAGAAGAAUUUGUAUGUUCUCAUAGAAUGAUCUUAAUGCCUACAUUCGAAACUUCGCUCUCUAAUAAAACUUUGCACACAUAAACUUAAAUGAUCUACCCGGUACUGUCUAUGUAUGGAGGUUGCAUCUCUUUUGUACCAUUCAGUCAGUGCAUGAUACUUAUAACGAUGAGGUUUAUCGUAGGCAAAAAGCUUUCCCAGUCUAGUUGGUUCCAAGGGAACAUUAGCUAUUUGAAUAUACAGGUCAUUGACUUGUCAAACCAUCUUAUUCUAAGACCCAUCUCUUGAGCGUCUUCCUAAUUCUGCUCGAUUUACUGCUAGUCCUAUUAUUUCAUAGAUAAUGGUAAUCUCCCCCAAGUAUCUUGCAGCUCUUCUACUUUCAAAUGGGCAGGUUAGCCGGUCUUUGUCCUAUGAAGAAACUAAAUGUAUUGUUGAUUGAAGGAUCACUUUGCUAAUGCUUGACCGCUAACCUAAUUUAAAGCACAUACUACUAAAUUUGUAGCCAAUCAAAAGAUAGUGUAUUGCCAAAAAUGUUUGGUUUACAAGGAUGCAACAGGUUUUGUGUUUUUAUGAGAUGGAGGUAACGGGUUCUGUAGAUAAUAAACAUCACUCGAUUGAAAAACGACAAAUUUGUUUGCUCUACUCACAAUAUUUGGCUAUGCAGGUCAAGAUGAAGUUGGUGAACCUUGGACAUGCUCAAAGGUGUGUAUUGCUUUCUUCUGUUUAUAAGGACUUGAGUGCUGUUUUACCACUACCAUCUUUGCCAUCUAAUUUCUUUGCAGUUUGCAUCCAAAGAGUCUGAGAUUACAAGUUUCAAUUUAGUUUUCCCUCAUACCUAUUCAUGUAUCUUUGCUUUUAUUGAUCAUAUAGUGAAGAGACAAGAGUUAAAAUUGGGCUUGGAGUGCGAAUCGGGUGGCAAAGGCGGCGUGAGAAGCUAUCAUUGCAGGAAAAUUGCUGCUUUGACUGGCAGAACUUAAUUGCUGAAGCCUCUAGACAAGGAUACGACGGUGAAGAGGAACUGCAGUGGGAUUCCUACAAGAUCUUAGAUGAAAAGCUUACAGAGGAGUAUUCAGAGAGUGUGGAGCAAAGGAAAAUUAUGCGUAGGCCAAAAGGAAGCAAGAGAGCACCCAAGUCUCUCGAGCAAAGAAGGAAGAUUUCACAAGCAAUCUCUGCAAAAUGGAACGAUCCUGUAAGUGCAAAUAUGGUAAUCUUGAAGUUUUCAUUGCUAUAUAAAUUGUUUCAAGACGAUUCCAUUACAAGUUAAAGUUUCCACUCUAAUUGUUUUAAAUGGUAUGCAUAAGUGCCUAAAUGAUCUUUGCUAUUACAUGUUUGGUAACAGUAGCAGGAACCUGAGCCUUGUUUUCUUUAAGAUUGUAUUUUACUCAUAUAAUUCAUGUGUCAGGAUUAUCGCGACCGUGUGUGCUCUGCCUUGGCUAAAUAUUACGACACAUCGUAUGGACCUGAUAGAAAGCCAAAGAAGAAGCCAAGCAGUAGUUCAGAGUCCACAAGAAGGAUCCCUGCAAAGAAAAAAGUUAGUGAGAAAACCAAUUUCUCUAGUAGCGAGAUUAAAAUCCAAAAGCAACGACUGAGGUUGAGAAGUAAAGCACCCAUGUACAAGGAUCCUCUCGCGAGUUCUAAGAUGGAGAUGAUAAAGAACAUCAGAGCACAAAGAGCAGCUGCUGAAACCCAAAAAAGGGAAGCCGAAAGAGCUAGGUAAGUUCAUUGUGUAUAUUGAUUGGUUUGAAAACUCUAUGAACUCCUAACAGGGAAUCACUAGCCUGAAAAUCGUAUCUCCCCUUCUUUGGUUUCCGUUCCAUCAGCUGUCUUGGUAUUUCGCAGGUUAUUGAUUGCUGAAGCUGAGAAAGCGGCCAUGGCCCUUGAGGUUGCUGCAACAAAGAGCCCUGUUGCUCGAGCUUCCCUUGUUGAAACCCGACAGCUUAUAGCUGAGGCAAUUCAGUUUAUUGAAUCUAUAGGGACGGCACAGAUUUCUUCCUCCGAGAAUGAAGACCCUUCAGUUGCGUCGAAUGAAGACCCUUCAGUUGCGUCAAAUGAAGCGAUUAGUCGGGAUGAAAAGGAGACAUAUACUGGGGUUGGGGCUGAAGCAGAUAAUGGAAGUGUAAAUGGCAUCCAAACUUUGUCCUUCCAUGAGAAUGAAGACCCUAUAUUUGCAUCAUACGAAGUGAUUAGUGAGGGUGAGGAGGAACCAUGCACUGCGGUUGGAGGUCGUACUGAAGCGGGUAUUGCAAAGAUAAAUGGCACGAAAACCUUAUCGAGUACAAACGAGGACUCCAGCUUUGGCAACUUCACAUCGGAGGAUAUGCUAGAUGCUGAAGAGGACCUUUCCCCAUUGCAGGAUUUGCUGAACGCUCUCGAGGACCCUGCCCCAUUGGAGGAUAUGCUAAAUAGGGAAGAGGACCUUCCCCCACCGAGCACCAGUGGAUAUGGUUUGCCUCCGUUUGGUUUUGAGGACCUAAUAAAGCAAUCGGAUCGGAGCAAUGAACCCAACCAAUUACAUCCAAAUGGGGACAGUGAAUGCAGCAAGAACCUUCAACUCAACGGCACCAAAGUUCAGUCCAGAGAAGAGGAAACGCCUUGUAAGCCAGCGACCGCCGCUACUAAAAAGUGGAUUCGCGGGAGGCUUGUUGAAGUAGGAGAAGAAGCUUAGUGCUAAGAGAGGAAUCACAACAAACUGUACUGCAACUGUUGUUCCUCAAGAUUCUCAAGUUUUGAGCUGAAUUUGGUCAUAUCGGCUUCUACCAAGCAGCAGUUGGUGUUCAUCGGUCGAGUCGUUAAAUUUGGCUACCGCUGUCCUCGCGUAGAGCCAAUGCUUAUUCAUCGACGAUGAUUGUUAUAUAUGAUACUGAAACUAGUAUUAGAGUUUCAGGGAGCUGCUCUCUCACUUCUGUCAGUACCAACAAAGAAUUGCUUCUGUAAUCUUAUUUUAUAUACUGAAACUAGGUUACCAAUUUUACACUUUUUUAGUCUGUAAUAUGGUGUAUUUUUUACUGCCUUGUGCAGCCUCCUUUUGUUUUUACCACACGGUGAAAAUUUGAUAAACCACUCCUCUUGUUUUAAUUUUAAGCAACUCCAUCUGUUUCCUCAUGGCAGAAGGCUGGAAAAGUUACUAUUCACUUUGAAUGGAAAUUGCUCUAGCAAGUUUCCAUCCAUGCAGAAUUGUCGUGACCAAGGUAUAAAAUAUCGAUGAUAUCGGAAAUAUCGGUAGUCCAAAAACACGGAAAUUUCGAUGGAAAUAUCGGGAUAUUAUCGAUAUCGAUAAAAAUUGAAUAAAAACCACGGAAAUUGUAAGAAAAACCUGGAAAUUUUUAUUGAAACUUUGCAUGAUGUUUAUUUAGUCAAUUAUCUAUUAGUUUAUCACAAAAAAUUGGAACGAAAUGCAUUGCAUGAUAGAUAUAACUGAUUUAAGUUGAUUAUAUAGCAAAUUGGCAAACAUUGUGAGUGUAGAAAAUAUGUAGUAAUUAAUGAAAGAAGUUUAAACACACCAUAAUCAUUUAUAUAUAAUGAAUUAGUACAAUAUUUUACACUUUAUACAUUGCAUGGUAAGAUACAUGAGUGACUUAGCAAGGUCUAAAAUAUCGAUGAUAUCGGAAAUAUCGGUAGUCCAAAAACACGAAAAUUUCGAUGGAAAUAUCGGGAUAUUAUGGAUAUUUUAGACCAUGGUCGUGACAGUUACUUUUUUCCUUUUUUAAGUAUAUAAUUCAAUUAUUGUCACUCAGUAUUACGAUCUAGUAGUAUUCCUCUUCACUUGGAAGUGAGAGGUCUUAGGUUCGAAUUUUAUGGAUAACGAAUUCGAUACCAAAUUAGGCUGUUCAUCGUAUGACUUGAACUCUUCCUUCUUUUAAUGUUAAAAUAUUGAUAUUAUUUAAUAAUUAUUGGAAGAGUAAGACUAAUUUUGAAUAAGUUGCUCAAAAUGCGCCAUAUGUCCAAAUCUAUUAAAAAUCGCCACUCAAUAGAACUCUGUUUGAUACUCUACUUGAAUCCAACUUUUUAAAUUAAAAAACAAUUUUCAAGUUUUAGGCUUUAAAAACUUGUUUGGUAUGAUUAUUUAAAAAAACUGAACUCAAGACUAACUCAAAAAUAUAGUUUAUUCUAUAAAAACAUAAAAAGUGAGUUUUUAAACUUAAAAUCACUCAUUUCUUUUCUCUCCCUCCUCCCCUCUCACUCCAAAUCUAUAUCUUUCUUCUUUCUUCUUUCUCUCUCCUUUUUUUUUUACCUUUUUCGUCUCUUCUCCAAUCCGUUCUCAUCAUUCUCUCGGUUCUUUCUCUCACUCAUCUUCCUCUCUAGCUCGUCCGAUCCUCUCUCUUAUUUCUCUUUCCAUCAACCAUCUUUUACUUUAUUUCCUCCUCACUCCUCUUUCUCCCUCUCCUGCACCGCCUCUUUUUAGAUCUUUUUGUCUAGUUUAAGUCAUAAGGUUUAAAAAUUUUAAAUCGCGAACCAAUCAAGUUUUUGAGUCUUAAAAAAAAUUGUUUUCAAGAAAUAUUUUUAAGAAAUGUUUUGAAAAAUGAUAAAAAAUUUCAAAUAUGAUACCAAACAGCCCUAAAUUUUUUAACUUCUCUACCACGAGUCCUUAUAUAACUUUGAGCUUAUGAGGCAUGCCUUUGGUCACAUCUUCUUCGACGAAACAACAGUUGUCGUCUGCAUCCGUCAGGUCGCCGAGUUGGCUUGAAAAGUAGCAUUAGAGUUUCUUAUGAACUCCAAUGGCACCUCCUAGUGCUGGGUAGCACCAGAUUCUUUGGCGCAUUAUGUUGGAUAAUAAGUUGUACACACAGACAAAUAAAAGCAUAUAUAAGUAACUUACAACAUGAAACACCAACGGUUUAUGAGGCUGAUGGUAGAUUAACUAACUAGAACUAGAAGCACUAGUCUCAGUCUCAGGAGGUCAGGCGUCGCCCUCGCAGCGGCUGCCGUUGAGUUUGGAGUCGACGGCCUUCUCCACCUCCCGCCUCUUUUCUUCUUUCUCCUCUUUCCCUUUCUCUAUCACCUUCUGUACUUGUUCCUCCUACAAAACCACAAAGAAAGACCCCCCAUCGGACAUGAAACAUCGAAAGGGUUGGGGAUUCUCAGAAUAUUUAAAGCAUCUCUGCUAUGAUAGAGGUGCCAUAAAUAUGCUCAUCAAAACUUUCAUGCCAUGUUUCGUGCUAUAAUAUAUAUGUAAAACAAACAUGUGAAGGUAUGAAGGAUUGUUAAAGAUUGGAAGUCAAAAGGAUCAUAAAAGACAUUAUAAGGAGUUGAGCUAUGUACCGUCUCAUUUGCUAAUUGAUUUCGAGAUUAAACUUCGAACUUUCUAGACUUUCUUCGAUAGUAGGUUAAGCUAUAUGAGUAUCCCAACAACAGACUUCACAUCACUUAAUUUGGGCCAAUUGAUUUUGAGAUGAAACAUUGGACUUUUAAAAUUUCUUUUAGAGAAGGUUUACCUAUAUAUGAAGCCCAACCACGAACUUCACGUCAUUAUAUUUGUACUAAUUGAUUUUGAGAUGAAAUCUCCAACUUUCUAAACUUUUUUGGAGAGUAGGGUAACCUAUACGUGCAGUCAAACCAUGGACUUCACGUCACUCAAUUUGUUCUAAUUGAUUUUGAGAUUUUGAGAGUAGGUUAACCUAUAUGUAUAGUCCAAUUACAAACUUCAAUCACUCGAUUCGUUCACGAUUAACAUUUUAAUUUAAAAACACAAUAAUACAUGUGAGGAUGUGAAGACUUAUCCACACUAAAAGUUAACCUAUAAUGACUUAUAUAGUAGUGUUCCUAUUAUUCCAUUUUCACUUGGAUUUCAAGAAAACUGACCCAAAAAAAAAUAUGUGCAGGACAUCGACUCAUUAUUAUAGAAACAUAGCAUAACACGAUACAUUAAAAAAUAAUAUAAAUUGUCAAUUAAUUUUAAAGUGAAAUCUCAAAACGCAAAAGAAAAUAUAUAUGCCUUAAAGAAGGAAUCCCUGUUAGACAAGGAACAUGAAACGGAGCAUAACGUACAUCAACGACACGAGGGAUAGGCAGCCUAUGUCCAUGAACGGCGGCACGGUUGGGCGCUUUGACUGUCAUAAAACGCGGCAGCUCCGCCUUGUUAGGGCAACCCGGUGCACUAGGGCCAGUAAUGCCUCCAGCUCUUGACCACCAUCGAAACACUAGUCUUCCCUGCUGCUGCUUCAUUAUUUUCCUACAAAAUCCUUGGCUUCCCCUUUUUUAUUCUCAUGAGCGAGUGAUGAACAAAUGAAGCAUUUGACACGUGGCAUUUACAUGGGCCGCCACAUGUCCUCUUAGUGAGACGUGUCACACUCUUUUAAAUUAUUGAAACUUGUAGAAAAUGCUAGAGCUUGCUAUUUCCUUGGAUCCCACUAGAAAUGAUUUGAUUCUGAACGCUUUGUUUAUCACACUU
Molecule: long non-coding RNA, 77110 nt
Filed under: Malus domestica (apple)
Lineage: Eukaryota; Viridiplantae; Streptophyta; Magnoliopsida; Rosales; Rosaceae
Description: long non-coding RNA (MDOM_LNC017438)
Source: RNAcentral